This is a non-coding RNA of Podarcis lilfordi (Lilford's wall lizard), 44967 nucleotides long. The record is from the annotation of a GenBank genome assembly. Lineage: Eukaryota; Metazoa; Chordata; Lepidosauria; Squamata; Lacertidae.
GACUUUUCUCCCCUCAGACUCGGCCGGCUCGCUAAGGCAACGCCUCCCUCCUGAGGGGAAGUUCGUAGUCGGCGCUGUGUAAGCUAAAGGAAAGGGUUGGCGCUGCUGGCCUUCACGGCAAGCUUUCGCCGGCUCAGCAAAUAUUUAUCCGAUUUUAAGACGCGGAACUGCUUUCUGUUAAAAAAAAAAAAAAAAAAAAAGGCGAGAAAAGCGGAGCAAAACGAAACAAAAAUUCUCCCUGCGACUCCGCCGGGACUCGAACCCGGAACCUUUGAAUCCCUUCAACCCUCUAGAAGUCCAAUGCGCUAUCCAUUGCGCCACGGAGCCACCUGUUGGAUUCUUUGUACAUUCGCUAUACAACCCACAGAAAGACUUCGUCCCGUCCUUCGCAGCAGGAAAGGGUGUGUUCCAUUGCUCUUUUAAAACUGAAUUAUGUCGUGGCGCCACAAAGAAAAGUUGCUAUUAUUUUUUCCUUGCGAGUUUUAAACAGCUCAUGGAACUAAUUUCCAUAUUAAGUGUGAACUUCAGUUGAAAUCAAUACUACUCAUUAUUGCAGGGCAGGGCUGCCAAGGACACCCUUAAAACAAAUAUUUAUUGUGUACCAGAGCGCAUGUAGCUAUACUUUACUUUUUUUUUACUGUGUUUCUAAAAUUGACUAAUUUCAUUGUGCAUUAAAUAAAAAGAGGGCUAUAUCUACUCAAUGUGGGAAUUGAACCAUGUAGUGGUUUUAGUAAAUAAUUUUGCUGAUCGGAUCAUUUCAAGCCUGCUGAAUCUUACAAUAUUCCUUUUUCAUUAUGGUUGUGUCUUUAAAUAUCAUUUGAAAAUAUUUAGCAAUUGUUUGCUUGUAUUUUCCAGUUUUUUUAUAAAAACAUUGAACUGGUGAGAGAGAAUAAUAAAGUAGUGCCUUUCACUGGACUAAUUUAUUGCGGCAUAAGAAUAUGCAAGCUCUUUGAUUACACAGAACUCUUCACCAAUGUAAAGAUUAAUAAUUCUUAAUAAUUUUUUUGCUAGAAGUCAUUGGGUUUUUAAAAUUAAAUGCAGAUUAUUUUUAAACACUUCCGAAAACUGUCGGUCAUUUAAAGAAGCAAUUCAAUCAUUUCAUGUUUCAACUCCAUGUAAAAUUAUGCACUAAUUUAGGAGUUAUUUUUCUUUGUGUGUCAGAUCCUUUCUUAAAAGGCCACUAUUUUCCAAAGUGCACGGAAGAACUUUCACUCAUCACCAGUAACUUUCCUCUCUUUACAGUGAAUCAUUGGCAGUCCAUUUUGCCCACACCUUUUGCCAAGAGACAUCAAUUCAGUAAGUCAUAAUUUUAUCUACCUUUUCUGUGGGGGUGGGGUGGAAUUGAUUGAUCAGUCACCCCUCCACUUCAAUAAGUUUUCUUGAAACAAACAUAUGAACCUGCUUGGGUUUUGAGAUUAUAUUUCUACCAGGUUUCCAUGCAGCCUUGAGAGAUGCUUCACUGAAGAUGAACAUCCUUCAUCUAGCCCAAGAUACCUAUACCUUACUUCCAGAAUAAAUUUUACAUGCACCCUCUGCAUCAGUUACCAGCCUCUGAGGACUCUUUAAGUGUAACACUGCCAGUAAAGUUGGGGAUUUUUAUUUGAUUACAUUAAAAAAACAAUAUAAUAAUAAUAAUAAUAAUAAUAAUAAUAAUAAUAAUUUAUUUGUACCCCGCCCAUCUGGUUGGGUUUCCCCAGCCACUCUGGGCGGCUUCCAUAGAAACCAAAAAUACACUAAAAUAUCACACAUUAAAAACUUCCCUCAAAACAAAAAACAUUAAUGUGAAUUCUUCCAGAUUUUCAUGCUAAAGCAUACCCCUUAUUUCUCACUCACCAGUAGAUGGCACUGCUGGAAGUAAAAUAAAAAGGCAUGCACAAUAAACAUUAUUUCCCAAAAAUCAUUUCUCCCCACCCCUUUGCAAUGACUGUCAUAGUCAGUACCAGCUAUAUGAAUGACACAAUUUAUCUUCUGCACCCCUAGAUAAAAGGAGAGAAGGAAGUUCUGGCAAGGGGCUAAAGAUGAGCAUGAAAGUGUUCCCAUAUGAAGUCAAUUAAAGGGUCUCUGCUAACAACGAUAGGCAAUAUCGGUGCCUGAAACUUUGGAGAGCAGCUCCUACUCAGCCCCUAGCUUCACUGAAAACACGAGUCAAUUUUAUCCACUUUAAUUAUCAUAGAGUCUCCCCAACGCGAUGGAAAAAGCAGCGGACACAGCUCAAAAAACUUAAAAUCACUAUGGGGGGGGUAGGUUUGCCCUCAAAAGCUCAAUAAUUUGUUUUUGUUCCCCCCAAAAAAGGCUUAACAAUUUUUGUUGAUUUCUUUAAAAAAUGCUCAACAAUUUUUGCAUGUGUCAGGAAUUUUACUUUUUGAAAUAUGGCAACCCUAGACAGAUCAGGUAUGGGGAAUCUUGGUUCUUCCAUAUGUUUGCUGAACUACAACUCCCAUCAUCCCUGGGCAUUGGCUACAAUUGCUGGAGCUGAUGGGAGUUGUAGUUCAGCAGUGUCAGGAGAGCCGAUGUUUCCCCACAUUUGUGAUAGAGCAAAGCGUAUUCACGUGCUCAAGAGGAGAAUCGCCUUACUUUGGUUGGACAGCCAUGCAGUUCUGUGCUUCCUAUCUACUUUUUAAAGGGGAUAUGUCAUAGAUAGGAAACCUGUGGCCCUCGAAAGAUCUUGGAUUGCAACUCCCAUCAACCUCAGCCAGCAUGGCCAAUGGUUAGCGAUGAUAGGAGUUGUAGUAUGUUCUUAUUGAACUCCAAGUUUUUCUAGAACAGGGUUUGAAAAUGUGUAGAGCAGGGAUGGGGAACCUAUGGCCUUUGCAGUUAUUGUUCGACAAGUUCCCAUCUUUCCUGACCAUUGACCAUACUGGCUGGGGCUGAUGGGAAGCGGAGUCCAACACUAUCUUGAGGGCCAAGGCUUCUUCCGAAGUUCCUUGAUCAAGGGGUUAAUGGAGCAAGGUCAUUAAUCUCUGUUAUCACCUUACCCUCACUUGUGCAGUGUGACACACACAGACAUAAAUAAACUUUAAAGUAUUUGUGGGUUGGGAGCAGAAAAGUAAACAUUGCAAGACAAUCUGCCUGUGUGCUUAGAAGAAUAAAGACUCCUGGUUUUUUGUUUUACAAAGGCAAACAGAAUUUUCAUUUCUACUGUGAAGUGUGAGGCUUCCCACCUUUUCCCAGUCUGUCAGUCCCAGAGCUUGCCAGUCAUUCCAAGUCCAUUUCAAUCCAUGUGAGAAAUAUGUAUCUCUUUUGGAGACACUAACAAGGCUCUUCACAGGGAUUUUUAAGAGCUAGCUCUGGGAAUUGCUGAGGGUGUGUGAGAAUAGGCAUCAUAUCAUCUGUGACAUAUCACCUUAGAGGCAGUGUGUGGCUACAUGGAAAAAUCUAGCCUACAGGGAUGGGUACCUUGGUUUUUAAAGAUUUGCUAAUAAAAUUGGCUAAAAAAACCAACACAAAAAACAACAACAGCCUAGCAAGAUGCCACAGAACAGAGAUAUAAUUUUAUAAUUAGUGAAUAGGAGAUUGUGUCAUCUGUGUAUAACAGUGUGUCAGUGAACAUGUGAGCCCACUGUAAUUUUGGCUAAAUACUUUGGAUGUUUACUAUGUCUAGCCAGACAUACUAUAUGUGGAAAGGAGAGGUCUGUGGAGUGGGGGAGACAGGAGAAGACAGGAUCAAGCCUUUGCAUGAAAAUGAGUGGGUAGUAGCAACCUCUGCUUCUAAUAAACUAUUUGUGCCUAAGGUUAUGACCCUACAAUUUCUUACAGAAGUGAAUAAGGCCCAUGUAAUAAAGUGGUGCUUAUUUCCCAGUGAACAUGCAGGAUCAGUUUGCUUUAGUAGUUAAUGCUGAAUAUCAGGUGGUAGAAUAUUAUUCUAGGAGCUUGUAUCCCUCUCUUCUGCCACAAAGGGGCAAACCCCAGAUGCUACACAGAAGACCAGUUGUUUAAAAAUUAACAGCAGUUGUCAGGGUGUGUGCGCACUGGGACCAUGGUGUAUGUAGGAGGGAGGCUUGACUUUUCCCAUGUACCCUAAAUGACCCAACUAAAAUCUUUCUUUCUUUUUUUUUAAUUUCUCUUUAUUAAUUUUUAUACACACAUAUGUACAGAAAAUAAAUUCUUCAUGGGGGAAAAAAACAAUAAUAAGAACAACAUAACUUAAUUAUAAGAAGAAGAAAAAAACAAAAAAAAAACAUGUAAGUUAUUGACUUCCCUCCACCUCAGUUUUGGGUUAUGUAAUACAUUUUUUCCCGCAGUUUUUCUUUAAAACUUUUGUAUGUCGAAGGGUUAUAUUAAAAUCUUUCCCCUGUUAUUUGCUCCUUUGUAUGAUCCCUGUAAAGGAAAACUAACUGAUAUCUUACUGGUAGCUAUCAAUUUCUUCUACCCAUCAAGAAGCAGAUUCAGGGAUUAGUUUUUAAUCAGGGAGAAUGGCAUGAGGCAAGUGAUUAAGUCAUUCCAUGGUUGCAGUUGGACAGAACAGAUAGCUUUUUAAAAAAUUCUUGCAGGCCUAAAUUAAUUGUUUCUUCUAUUUAAUUUUGUUUGUUUGUUUUUAUUUUAUUGAUUUAUACUUUGAAUGUAGAUUACACUACAUUAGUAAAAUACAAAUCAAGAAAGAAAAAAAUCCAACCUCAAAAUCUGAAACAAGCUGAUAAGCUAAUUGAGACAGUAGCGGAAUCCCAAUGGAAUCAAGAUUCUUAAAAGGCCCACUUAAAGAAUAUUUUCACUGUCCACCACAUUUGAGAAUCCCCCUUCUCGGUCACUCACCUCAGAUAGCAGUGGGAUCUUUAGGAGACCUAAACUUAAAUGAAAGUAGCAGGCAGGCGCCUACGGAGUGGGGGAAUGGAGGCAUCUGAGAUAUUUUGCUCCCAAACUUUCCAGGGGAAAAGGUGGGAAAUUGUAGAUAGAUAGAUAGAUAGAUAGAUAGAUAGAUAGUCAAAGCCAGCAUCUUAAAUUCAGAUUGUGAGCACAAUGAGAGCCAGUGAAUUAGAUUCUUCUUUUUUCAAAAAAAAGUGAAUGAAAUUGUUUCCAGUAAAUCCUACCAUCCCCAUGGGGUUUCCUCCUUCUCUUAUUGUGGAAGAUUUGCCCCAAACUAUAAAACUGCACAAGCAAAAUACAUUUUUAAAAAUCUACAACAGCAAUCUAAAAAGUGAGUGACUAUCUCAUUCAUAUAUAUAUAUCCAGAAAACUGAAAAUGUGUGCUGAACCUUUAUGAUUGCCUGACUGUGUGCUUUUGUGUACCUCAUUUGCAUGAAUUUUUUUUUUAAAGGUAUGCGCACAGUUGUCUUCAUUCAGCUACCUAAUUGGCAUAAUAAAAUCAACAACUUAAAAGGUAGGGGCGAACAGCAACAGUAACACCGUCUGUGGUAUGAACAGGAAAGAUUGUGGUUGCUCCUUAUAUAGAAAUUCAAAUACAUAUUGGUGUGGACUAUUUCAAUCUUAUUCAAUUGCGGAAAAAGUGGAUUAACACCCAAAUGAUGCUCAAAUGUGGUCAAACCCAUAAUGCAUAGUGUGGGCCUCAGAAUAUUAGUCCACCUAGCCCAGAUCUGGCCAGGGUGAAUGUUCCCCAAGGUCACAGCAAGCAUCCUGUUCCUUGAGAUCCUUUUAAAUUGCAGAAGCUUUUAAAUUGCAUUGAAGCCUGGGACCUUUGGCAUGCAACGCAAGUGGUCUCUGCUAUUAAGCUUCAGUACAGUUGUGGCUGGUGCCCAUUGGGAUGCAAGGCAGGAGCCCAACACUAGGGGGAGCAAGAGCCAAUAAGAGGCAGAGCCCAACUAAUUCUGGCCUUGUCUCAAUCUUCCUCCUGGCCAGUUUUCACAAAUGUAGCACUGAGACUAAGGAGGAGGUAGUUCAUUGCCAAUGUCACCCUCUGGAUGGGACGGAAGUAAGAAAGUAAGCAGGUGGGGGCUGGCUGAAGGCAGACAGAGGUUGGUGGGGCAGUGCCCUAUUAAUCCUAAUGGACUAUCCUCCACUGCAAAAGGAGGUGUCAAAAAAGACCAGUGCCUGUUCCCCAGGUCUGGGGGAAGUCUGCUGUGCAUUCUACACCCACACAAGGGCUAUACAGACAUCCUUGUUGGGGCUGAGGACCAGUCUGAAAACCCCUGAUAUAUGUAGAAUGUAGGGAUCUGGUAGGAACACACCUGAUUCCUGCAUUCCUCUAUAUUGCCUUGUAGCUGAGCCUCAUAUCAUAAUUCAGUCUCUGGGUUCAGAUCCCCUUUAUAAUGCCCUGCAAGCCUUUCUGCGAACUGUACCGUCUAUCUGCUUUGUCACACCUUUCCCUUUAACCUGCUGCUUUUGAUCAAUAUUUUACAUCUUGUCCCGGAAAGGUGGGCAGAAACAAAAGUGAAGAUGAUAAGACCACCGCUGAAGGGCAAGGGGGAGAGGAAGUAAAAAAUAGUUUCUGGUGUCCUUUAAAAUGCACCUGCAUAAAAUGUGCUAAAGUUCACCCUGCCGUUACAUAAAAAAAUAAAAACUUUGCACAAAAAGGUACAAGAACCAAGCUCCAAAAAUAGCAGCAAAGGCUACUGCAGCUGAAAGCAAAUUGGGAAAACUCUUACCUUUUUUUCUCCAAUGCUUUCCUAAUGCGGCGUUCUCCCUUCCCCUCCUUCAUCCAUGCACUCUGUGAACGGUUUGCACAUACUAAACAAGGACUGUGGUGGAGACAGUGGUGCACUGCGGCGAGCAAAAGGAAGUCAUUUGGAUCAGCGAUGUGAAAAAGGGAAGAAGGGAACAAUCUGUGAUCAAACAAUCUGGGCGACUUUCUCCAGUCGAUUGCAUCUUUGCAGGGCACAGCAUAAAUCUGACAGGGAAUCCAGCCCAGUAUUUAUUUCAGGAGAGCAAAUGGAGUUGGCAAGACAAGUCUACAUUGUGUGUGUGUGUGUGUGUGUGUGUGUGUGUGUGUGUGUGUGUGUAAGGCAUUGAUUUGAUACUUUAUUGUGCAUUUAUUUGUUUGUUCAUGGAUCUAUUUCUCUAUAUAAGUGCUUUCAAUGUCAACGUCCGUGGGGCAUUACAGCAUAACAUAAACAAAAAGAAAAACGGUCCCUCUCCUGAUGAGCAUGCAAUCUAAAUUUAGACACGAGGGGAGAUAGCAGAGGAAGGAGGGAGAGCCAUACCAUAGGAAAUGAGCAGGUACUGUUCACAGACUGAGUCUGUGUACAUGUUACCACUUACCCUGGCUCCAGCGGGCUCCCACCACCCGUAUCUGAAGCUGAGAAGGCAUGACCUUAGCCACAGACCAUCUGUGUCCUACAGCGCUUGGCAAAUGCUGCUUUGUGAUGUGAUUUCCCUUAAAGCAGCUUCCACCCAGUUCAAAAACAUAAGCCAUGGUCCAGCUGGGUUGUUUACCUGUUAGACGUCCAUUGCACAUGUGCAAAUUACGCAUGCGAAGAGGACAGUUUCGCCAAAUAGGGGUUGGCAGGGCUGCGAGCAUGGGGAAAUAGAUCAGGUAAUGAUACGCACAGCAGCCUAAAACACAACUUGAAACAUGGAGGGGGAGAUGGAGACGGCCUUGUUGCAUUUCAAAGCCACUUAUGUGUACAUGCCCUAAGGAAUUAAUGGAGAAGGAGGCUUUGGGAAAGGGAUUUUAGAGAUGGCAAGGAGCAUUGCAUGUUGUUCUGAAAGGGAGUUCUAGAUGUUAGGGGCAGCAGCCAGAGACAAUGGCUGAAAUCUUUGGGGGGCUUGAAGAAAAAGCUACAACAGGAAAUCAACCACCCAAAAUGUUAGGGUUGGGCAUUGCUGAAAUUCUUAACCUGUGUUGACAGUUUGAAUAGAUAAAAGGCUGCCAUUCUUUGCACACUUGCAUAGUAAUAAGCCCCACCAAAUUCAUGGAGCUUUCUUUGGAGUUUCCCCCUUGUAGGAUUGUGCUGCAAAGGACAAUGUUAUUAUUGUGGUAAAUAUGAAAAGGCGAGGGGCUAGGAAGACCUGCCUCAGGAAUUCUGAGAAAGAAGCUUUCCCCUGCCAUCUUAAAAGGUGGCCAGAAAGCAAAGACAUGGGCAGCAAGGGGGGACUCUAGAAAAUAGCCACAAGUCAGGUUGUCACAAACUUGGAGGUAAAUGGGAAAGUCUGUGUCCUGUGUUCUUUGUGCAGUGUUCAUAAAUGUGAGGCUCAUGAGGAGUUGCCCAUGAAAAGCCAUCCCUUAGGGUCCUCCCAGCCCUCAGGAGUGACCUGGGGGUAGACGGUUUGAGGGGUUGCAGCUGAUGAGAGAUUCCCCACGGGGGGUGGGGUGGAAGUGGGUUCUGCUCAUACACUGAUGUGAUUGCUCAUACUGCACACCACCUCAAUAUCUAAGCAGUGCGAGAUUCCAGGGUUUCCAGGCGCUAACUUAUAGUUCUUGUUUCCUUCUGGAAAGACUGUGCUGCCUUUAGGGUAUGUGAUUUAUUUGCGCAUAUAUACAACAUGAGCCUACUAUGGAGGGGUUCACAGCGUUAGCACCCCAAGAGGGUCUUGUUUCUCCCAUAGCCAUGGCCUUGGAUUCAAACAUUGUGCUCUGCCCCUCUGGUUUUCAGCCUGCAGCUUUACUUCUAGAUCACCCACAACACUUUCAAAAGUCGGGCUUUUGUCCUUCUUGCUGUCUGUGAGCGGAGGCUGCACCCAUUUGCCGUCUCACACAGAGCCCCCUCGUCUUUGCUUUCUUAAUGGCUCAUCACCUUGUCUUUCCUUAAUGGCCCAUCACCCAAGUGAUCGUUGUUGUUUAGUCAUUUAGUCGUGUCCGACUCUUCAUGACCCCAUGGACCACACUCCUGUCUUCCACUGCCUCCCGCAGUUCGGUCAAACCCAAACGAUUACCUGAACACAAUAAGCUAGCCUGCCUUGAUUAGCUUCUAACACUUGCUGAGUCCAGGGAUUAGGUGUCGGGCACCCAGUUUAAUACCCCAAGCCUUGAUUAGAUUCCAACACUUUACUGGGUGCAGGAAUUUAUAUUGGUUUGGCACCCGCAAACUCGUAACAACACUUAGCAUUUAAAUUGCACUUUUUAUGUGAACUUGUCACCUAAUGUAUUCCUCUUUGCUGUCUUUGUUUGCCAACAUAUAGUUCAAUGCCUCCUUUGUGUGGCUCUCCCACUCUGUCCUUGUGCUUUCUUCCAGCCCGCCCACCUCACAUGAAAUGAAUUCUAAGCUUUGCUCUUCCUGCCUCCACCUCCCUGAAAAACACCACUUGUAUAAGACUCAGUGCCACAGCACGGUCUUUUUUGUUGACGAGGGAUUCUUAGUGACAAAGCAUCAGCUUUGCAUGCAGAAGGUCCCUGGCUAAAUCCCUGACAGCUCCAAGUAGGGCUAGGAAUUUCCCUGGCUAAAAACCCUGGGGAGUAAUUGACACCUCCAGGGGCGUAGCGUGGGUUGCCAGUGCCCAGGGCAGGGCAAGUGUUGUGCCUCUCUGGUGGACUGGGCAGCGUUCAGUGCCUUUGCCAGCUAGUGUCUAAUCAAGGGAGUCUGUCCUUGCAAACUAGCCCUGAAAUGGGAGCAGAGAUAAGGCAGAGAAACGUGAAGCUUGGAGCACCGCUGUGUUGCCCCGCCCUCCUGUCCUUGCAGCGAGGUGCUCUAGACCAGGCACAUGGCUCCGGCAGUGCUUUCCUGCCUUCCUCUUCCUCCUUCCCUCUUGACUGGCCCACUGGUGGGGUGCACACAGAUGUUCCUUCACAGGCCAAUAGGAGGAGACACUUUUGCCCCAGCACCGAAUGGCCCUGUGCAAUUAACCACUGCCUGGCAGAAAUUCAACAGAUAUCACCAUUUCUUGCCACAUGCAUAUAGCAAUGUGAAUGGGUUCACAUUUGAAUUCUGUCUAUCGUACAGCCUAGAACUUCUGUUUCCACUUUCCCUUGAACCCGCUCAGUCCCUGCUUUGUGUAACAUCAUCCAUACAUCCCAGGCAGCUUCAAUUGCAAUCAUCCCUGUGAUCGUAAAAGCCAGACGUAACCCCAUAGGCUGUUGAUGCAAAUACAACUUGGUAUAAAUAAAAACAAAUAUUCAAGCCGCAUUCAGUUCUGCUAGCAGGUUAAGUGUGAUGAAAUUGAUUUCCCAGCUGACAACAACACAAUGCCUCUCUUUGCAAAAUGAGCACAUGAAACACACGCACAGCACCUGGAAUUAUCCAGCAGGGAUUUCUGUUAUUAGAACUGCCUAGUUGCUAAUGUAAACAGGAUGCUCAGGCUAGGCAGAUGUCUGAGCAAUGUGACUAAACCUAAGAAAACACAGUCAUAUCAAUGAGAUAAGAAUUGUGUUGUUUUCUAUAAAUUAAAGUUUCAGUUGCUUGCAUUCGCUAUUCUCAAAACAAAAGUUUGCAGAUGGGUGCUUUACUACAAGUAGCAAGAUAGCAGCAGCAGCAGCAGCAGCAUUAGCAGCAAUCAAUUGAAACAAUAACAGAUCCAAGGCAUUCAUUGCUCAAGGUGUACUGGGCCUGUGACUGCUGGAAAAAAGAGGUCCCAGCCCGUUGCCAGGGCAGUGCGCUUGUUGCUUCCUCAUUGUUGGAUCCCACAGCAAUGUUUGAGGUUUUCAACCUUUUUGGGUUUUGCAGAGGUUUUCAACCUUUUUGGUUCCACAGCUCCCUUGAUCAACUACAUCCUGUGGGGCUCAGGAGUUAUGUCACCCCUUGGCUGCAGAGCUGGCAGCCUCUCACCCCUUUUCAAAUACCCUCCCCUGUGGAGUGUUUCCCCAGCCUCCUCUCCUUGGGAGUUCUCUGGGCAGCCGCAGCUGUCACCCCUGGUCUCUGAGCUGCCCCCCUGCCCCACAGGGGCCUGGGAAGCACCCCCUGGCCAGCCCCAGAGGCACCAUUUGCCUGGGAGCUUGUAACCAGGGCUGCUGCAACAAACAGCUGUGCAAGCCCUUGGGAGGCAGAGACGUGAGGGGGCAUCAGAGGAAGGGAGGGAAGGAAAGAGGAACAGAGGCAAGUGUUGCCCACGGCACCCCUGGCCAUCAUUCAAGGCAUCCUCAGGUGCCAUUGCACACUGGUUGAAAACCACUGGCAUAAUGGAAUCACGUGGAAGAGGUGUGAAGUUCAGGGUGGUGUGGUGAUGGCGCGGAAUGUGUGCACCAUCGGUGCAUCCCUUGUCAAUCUGUUCAGUCAGGAUCAUACAAAUCAUCCCAGAGAUCUCUCUGCCUGUUUCUACUUCCUCCGGUUAACACUACUACUGUAUUAGAAUAACUGUGGUUUGGAUGCUUGCCAAUGUUUACGUUACCAAAUAAUCCAGGUCCCAAGAAGGAUUGCUUUUAAAAUGAGCAACUUUUAUGCAAGAAUGUUUCCUCCAAUUAAGAAGAAAUGUCCUUUCUAUGCUUAAAGUGGCACACUUGAUAAAAGACCAAGACCAAGAAGGACGGGAGAGACUCUAUAAAUGCAGAAAAUAGUAUGAAAAUUUAAAACUUUUUUUAAAAAAAGGAAUGUAUGUUGCGGUUAAAACAUUCUCUUGAUGGCUGAAUCAUUAAUACAAUUUAGGAUGCAAUACUAUUCCUAUAGUCUCUAGUGCAGGCUUCCUCAAACUCGGCCCUCCAGGUGUUUUGAGACUACAAUUCCCAUCAUUCCUGACCACUGGUCCUGCUAGCUAGGGAUCAUGGGAGUUGUAGGCCAAAAACAUCUGGAGGGCCGAGUUUGAGGAAGCCUGCUCUAGUGUAAUACAUGGACUCUGGUAUUUGUAAGAAGUGCAGUUACAGUUAAUUUCACUAGUUGGUGCUAGUGAUAAUAGAGCUGUAUAUGAAGAACCAAAUAGUUGCUCAAAUAGUGUGGUAGGAGAGCGGGGGGUGGGAAUCACAACUAUCAACCAAUGCAUCCCUUUUGGUUUCAGAUAGUAUAGGGGUAGACAAGUCUAAAAAGCCAGGGACACAAAUUUUUACAGCCCUCUAGCAGCUAUGGUGGCUCCCACUAAAAAAGGUCAAGGGACCCCUGACAGUUAAGUCCAGUCGCGAAUGACUAUGGGAUUGUGGCACUCAUCUCACUUUACUGGCCAAGGGAGCCAGCGUUUGUCCACAGACAGCUUCCACUACACACACCCAGAAUCUGCUCCGGAGAAUCUCUCAACCUUCCAAAGCUGAUUUUGAGAGGGUGCAGGGGGACUGGAGGCAACAGGAGAGGGAGAGGAAGUUCUGUUGUUCACAAGAAGUCCCUUGUAGCAGCAGAACUGCAGUGUUGCAUAUGGACCUUAGUUUAGAAUAUACAGUGGUACCUUGGGUCACAGACGCUUCAGGUUACAGAUGCUUCAGGUUACAGACUCUGCUAACCCAGAAAUAGUACCUCGGGUUAAGAACUUUGCUUCAGGAUGAGAACAGAAAUCGCGUGGCGGUGGUGCAGCAGCAGCAGCAGCGGGAGGCCCCCUUAGCUAAAGUGGUACCUCAGGUUAAGAACAGUUUCAGGUUAAGAACGGACCUCCAGAACGAAUUAAGCUCUUAACCUGAGGUACCACUGUAAAUGUCCCUUUUACAGUCAGUUUUCAGAUUAAGAAAAAACUACGUCUCUCACCUAUUGGGGCAUUCAUUCCAAUCUCCAUUACACAACAAUUGCAUUUGUGACUGAUUACCCUUCAGCAGUAUAAACCUCUCGGUUACUUUCUCCCUGAUAGGAUGACAUAUAUCAGAAUUUGCCUCAAACUCAUCACUCUGAGGAAGCAACAAUGUGGGGAAGCUCAAAAACAGAACUUCAAAGGCUCUCUCUGCAGAUGGCACCCAAACAAAGGCCUCUUUCUGUGAAGUGAAUUGGCCACUUUCGUUCUUAUGCUCUAAAAGCAUGGCAUAGUCCUACAUUCUAACAUAACACUGAAAUAAUGUCUCACAUUGUUCCUUUGGACUUUUUAGAAAAAGAAAUAUUAGCGAGCAAUGGAUGUUGAUUAAAUAACCAAAAGUAUUUUGUGAAGGGCAGAGUUCGUUGCAGAAUAUAUCAGUGCCUAAAAUUUGGUGAAUGUCAGCAGUCCCAGACAUUGUUGUGAAUGUCCCAAAACUCAGAGACAUAUUGGUGAUCCUAAAUGGGAAGAAUAGAGUCUUGCACUACCUGAAGAUGAAACUUUGUUCUCCUUAGGGAGCAAUCCCUCAAACUGCUAAGUAAAGCUACCCAAUUUCAUUCUAAUUACUUAAAAAAUAAAAUAAGACGCACUAUCUAAAAUCAAUCUCCAUACCUUCUAAUAUAAAGCUUCUGUUUAAUUUUGUUUUUCACCCAAUGAGGUACCAGUGUGUUUCACCUAAGUAUGGAAAUGGACUGUGUAAGAGAGGUUUUGUAUUUCCGGAGAUGGGGGAACUGCCAUUGUUAGUUUGUUUUUCUUCCCACAAUUGUUGCUUCCAGAUUAUCAGCAAUUCUAAAUUUGCUUGGGGGUGAUUAGAUGACUGUUGCAUCAAGCAAAUGUUAUCCCACACUUUGCAAUGCAUUUUCCUAUCAAUUCCUGCAUCACAAAAAGUUUGUUGCUAAAAAGCAGCAAAUCAGCUUUAAUUGUGGGAUCUUCAUUUGCCAGUAUAGUGACAGUCUGAAAGCAUCUCCAGGCUUUGUGCAUUCUGAAACCUGUAUAGUGUCUAACAAAACCUUAUUUGAAGGUCCUCUAUCUCCUCCAGCGGGUGGCGGGACGCAGGUGGCGCUGUGGGUUAAACCACAGAGCCUAGGACUUGCUGAUCAGAAGGUCGGCGGUUUGAAUCCCCGUGACGGGGUGAGCUCCCGUUGCUUGGUCCCUGCUCCUGCCAACCUAGCAGUUUGAAAGCACGUCAAAGUGCAAGUAGAUAAAUAGGUACCGCUCUGGCGGGAAGGUAAAUGGCGUUUCCGUGCGCUGCUCUGGUUCGCCAGAAGCAGCUUAGUCAUGCUGGCCACAUGACCCGGAAGCUGUACGCCGGCUCCCUCGGCCAAUAAAGCGAGAUGAGGGCCGCAACCCCAGAGUCGGUCACAACUGGACCUAAUGGUCCCUUUACCUUUAUCUCCUCCAGCACUCUGUCAUAAGAUGAAUGCAGGCAAAUAUGGUUACACUACUGGUGAUUUUUUCUGUCUCUCCACCCCCUGCUUUGUUUACAUCUAGCCAGAUGAAGAAUUAAGGAGAACUUGUACAGUACAAUAAUUUGUGACAUUUUGGUUGCGCUAAUAAAGGUAUAGCCCUAAUAUGAAUGUUGAUCCUAGCCUGAAGGUGAUUGUCACUAUUCACUGGAGUAUGUCCAACAGUUGAGAAAAAUGUGAAUUUCAAAACAUUAACCAAUUUUGACUUGGAAUGUCAACAUGAAUGAUUGAAGGACUUUUCAGUAUAUGUCUUUCAACAAGAGGAUAUUUCAGUUUCAAGGGUAUAGGAACAGGAAUGUGAGUGGCAGGAAUUACUUGCUUAUCUGCUGUUGACAUUCAUUGUUGUAACAUAUUAAUUAACCAUAUUAUGAAAGCAUGCCUGCAAAUAUAGACUACUUCAUCAGGUCCAUCCAUUUAUUUUUGAGGAGGUUUUAGCUAUCUAGGAUUCUCCAGUGGUUAUAAAAUGUCUUCUGAGAAGACAUGCAUAGGAGAGACGUUGCAUAUGUUCCUUGACUUUCUGAUUUGUUAAAAGUUACAGAUGAAUCUGUAAACCAAGAGGAGACAUUUGGCCAUGGAGACAGUUCUUUAAUUUUUUUAAAGACCUUCCCACUGAAGUGGGACAAGCUUUUCUCUCUUAAAUCUCCCACUGCAGUGAAGUUUCUUGCACCAGGGUCUGUGUCUAGAAGAAUGUUCUGCAAUGUAGAUGUAGCCUGAAAGGAGUAUAGGAAUAUGCUCCUCCCCUGUGUUGCCCUAUCUGAACCCCAAUCUCUGCCUUAUUUUGGCUGCUGCAGAGGCAGAAUGGUUCUGUCAGCAUAACAGGAGAGUUCUGCCGGCACAUCUGUCAGCAUCAUAUCUGGCGUUGAACCAGGGAGCACAUCAGGGCUUCUGACAUUUGGUAAUAAGUUACAUUGGGACUUAGAGUCAUAGAAUUGUUGGAAGGGACCCUGUGGAUCAUCUAGUCCUGCAAUGCAGGAAUAUGCAGCUGUCCCAUAUGGGGAUUGAACCUGUGACCUUGGCAUGAUUAGCACUAUGCUCUAACCAACUGAGCUAUCCAGAAGACCUUAUUUCCAAGUAUACAAUAAGAUAAGGACACAUAGCUGCCAGCCUAUGCACAUUUACUUGGGAGUAAGUCCCAAUGAAUUCAGUGGGACUUAUUUCUAAGUAAACAUGUAUAGCAGAUUGCGGAAUCUGUGGCCCUACAGAUAUUGUGGGAGUCCAACCCAUGAUCUUUGGCUGUGUAGCUAGGGCUGAUGCGAGUUGUAGUUCAGCAAUAUCUGGAGGGCUACAGGUUCCCCAUCACUGGCAUAUAGGAUCAGGCUCUUAUUGGCACUUACUCAUGUCUGCAUUAUAUAUUAUAUGAAUUUUUAUGCAUUUAGGUUUCUCCCUCCACUGCUGGCAGGAAUUAUUAGUUCAACAUGACCCAACUGAUACAUAAUCAAGGCUGUAUUAGAUGUACUACGGCAUAACAAAAAGACAGCAAUGGUGUUUUAAAUUAUGCAUUGAAGUAUUUCUUAAGAUGUAAAUAAAUCUCUAAAUUUGCUUGGAAUGGGGAAUAUUUUUCAGAAUUCAGCCCUCACAGUAUGAUUCACAAGUUGUUGGCAUCUGAGUAGGUCUGAUCUUUUAUUGGUUGGGAAGGACUUUUCAAGGUAUGUCUUUCAACAAGAGGACAUUUCAGUUACAAGGAUAUAUCAGUGGGAAAUGAUAGCCGAUUGAGCAGGAAGAACGGUUGUGUGUUCUUUUCUGUUAAUACUUAAUGCAAUAGUCUCUGGGUUAUAAAAUUUAAUGAAUGGGCUGAUUAUUGUUUGGUGCAUAUUAAGGGGAUCUUUUGUUGAGCUACAUUGUCUGUGAGAGAUUUAAAAUGCAAGAGACAGAUUUAAAAUGCUGCUUUAAGGAGUCUCAGCUAAGACAUUUAUUCUGCAUUUGAAAAUAGAAUAAGCUAUUUCACGCCUGUUAAAAUAGCAAGUCCUAAAUUUGUGCUUUAUUGUCUUAUGAGCCCGGCCUUGGCUGGGGAGGGCAGGGUAUAAAUAAAAAAUUAUUAUUAUUAUUAUUAUUAUUAUUAUUAUUAUUAUUUACACUGUGUUCUUUGGGAGGUUCUCUAGACGUGCUGCUUUUGGCCUUUAAAGCCCAAAUGGCUUGAGACUGGGUUACCUGUAGGACUGUAAGUGCCUAUCUUAACCAUAAGAUCCACUUCAGAAGCCUUGCCUCUGUCACAUGAAGAGAGGCAGGUAACCCCCACCCCCUGGAACUUUUACUGGCACCCCACUAAGGGAGCAGCCCUUGCAGGGAAGCUUAAAAGGUAAAGGAACCCUGACCGUUAAGUCCAGUCGCGGAUGACUCUGGGGUUGCGGUGCUCAUCUCACUUUUGUCCGCAGACAGCUUCCGGGUCAUGUGGCCAGCAUGACUAAGCUGCUUCUGGCGAACCAGAGCAGCACAUGGAAACGCCGUUUACCUUCCCACCUAUUUAUCUACUUGCACUUUGACAUGCUUUCAAACUGCUAAUUGGGCAGGAGCUGGGACCGAGCAACGGGAGCUCACCCUGUUGCGGGGAUUCGAACCGCCAACCUUCUGAUCAGCAAGCCCUAGAAAUGUAUGGAUUAGUUGACUUCAUUUACUUACAUUUGGAUGUAUAUAUUUAAACUUUCUCACAAUAGAGUUGCAAUGAAAAGAGUACAGAAUGGGAGAACUGUACAUACUAAAGUCCAUAAUUUGAUAUGGUUGGAAGAUGAUAGGAAGUGUUAAUAUGGACCCUGGCAUUAUGACGUGGUGCAAUGUCUUUUCCCCCAAUAUUUUGACAGCAUUAUGGCUUAGAUAAGUACCUCACAUGAUUCUGCUAACUAGAAUCCCUUCUUGCCUUCGGCAUCAGAAAGGAAGAAAACGUUGACGCAACAUAUAAAUUAUUGCAUUCAUGAAUUCCUUCCUUGUCAUCUGGAUUACUGCGUAGGCAAAAUUGAGAUAGGGUUAGUAAAUAUGUAUUACUAAAGGAAACAAAGUACAGGAACAGGAAUGUGCAUGUAAGUUAUAUCUUGCUGGUGUUGCAUGAUAAAUGUAAGACCCAAAGAGCACCUGAAACUGCUCUCCAAAGUCUUAAGCAAAGCUCUUUCCCGUCAUCUACUGAAUUCGGUGCAACUCUUGCACACAACUUGUUUUCUUCCAUGGAGUUAGGUCUGUUCCCCAGUGAAGAGGGAUGAUGAUGAUGAUGAUGAUGGUUAUCACCAGUGGAAAGAUUUUAAUAUUGAAUCUGUGAGCUUGGAUGAUCUCUCUUAAAGGUAUUUCUCUGCCCUUGCGCACAUCAUUGUUCUCUGAAAAAUCAGUCCUUCACCACAGCACUAACCUUACUCCUCAAAGCACAGAGAAUGGCAAUGAAUGCUAGGUGCCACAAGAGGGGGCUGAAGUGCAGCAUAGGCUUGAAGGAAGUAGAUUUAUUAAGUGUAUUCCCAGCAGAAACCUCACCUUUUGUCCUAGGGCUAGGAUUGGCAAAUAUGGUCAGUGCUGGAGUACAGUUUAGAAAGAGAAGCUGCUUCUAAAUUGCAUGGUUGUGUUAUAUUCAGAAAACAUCAUUUGCAUUCCAUUUUUCUGAAGCUGGUAGAUCAUCUGGUGGCUAUUUUGCACAUUAAUAUACAAUAAAUCAUGUGUAAACAGACCUACACCUUCUGUGGUAAGCAGUUCAUGGGAAGUAAGGAAGUGGCUGAGUCAGAGUUAGUCUGCCACGCUCACUUUCCUGGGAAAAAGACCAAACAAUAGUUUAGGUUAGCUGUGGGGAACUUUGAAAGGUAGGGUUUAAAAUGUGUGUGGGGAAAACAGUAGUAAGCUUUUUAUAUAUAUAUAAAAUAAUCAUUAGUUUCCAAGCUAUUUUUAUUACUAGAAGACUAAUCUUGGCACUGGCAAACCACCAGCUUUCAAAAUCACCUUAUUGUUCAUAACAAGAUUUUGCUGAUUGCACUUCAGCUGUGUCACUCAGUUUCCGUUAAGCUAGGAAAAUCCUCAUCAGCUCCAAUCAUCUGGUGAGGGAAAGUCUGAACAAAGAGGUAUCUAAAAUAGUCAAGGUCAUGAAGUGAUCUUGUCCUAUACAUCCAUCUUCUUUGCACCAUAUUUUAGUUAUUUUUUAAAAAUGAAAAUGCUUGGAUCACUUUUCUGUAGAAAGCAUUUUAAAGCAGGGGAUUUAAACAAGAGGUGUAAAAGGCAUUGGGUUGUGUCCAAUGUUAGUUUUACUCAGAGUAGGUACAUUAAAAUUAAUGGAUUAAAAUUAGUUGGCAGUUUUUAAGCAGAGGUUAAGAAGAACUAACAUUGGACACAGCCCCUUAAUUAUUGUUAUAGUGUAACGCUGAAGUCUAAUGCAAGAACGAAAGCAAAAAAUCCAACUAUUUUUUCCUUAAAAUAGUUAUUAUUGUUGUUAUUAUUUGUUUCUUAUUUAUUAUUUGUUGUUAUUAUUAUUAUUAUUAUUAUUAUUAUUAUUAUUUGUUAUUAUUAUUAUUAUAUUAUUAUUAUUAUUAUUAUUAUUUGUUUCAUUUCUAUACAGCUUUAUGUUUUUAAGGGGAAAAAUAGUUGGAUCUUUACAGAAGCAGAUUUUAAAAUUGUUUGUGUGUUUCCUGCCUGGGGUUCAUUUGGUAACAAGGGUGUAAUAUAAAUUAAACAAAAACAAACAAACAUUUUGUUUCCUACAAAAAUGGGGGCCUUCAGGGCAGCAUUGCCUUACUGUUAAUUUUAACCUACAAAGGUUUACUUGUUAUUGUGAAAUUAUACACAAAAUUAUAGACACCAGAAGAAGUUGGAAUGUAAACAAUGUAUGAUUUGACCCUCUAUAAGAUGUCCUUAAAAAGAAGUUGUGAGCAGACAAGAUAACUAUGUUAUUGGGUGGCCAAUAUAAAUACUGCAAAUGAAUAAAUUUUUAAAGGAAAUAAAAUUGUACAACAAAUUGUACAACACGCUAACCAUCUGCUUUUGCUGAAGGCUGGUUGCUCUUUAUGCUGAAAUAGUUAUCAGAUUAGUGCUGCUUUCCUAAAUAUGUCUAAUCUCAUUUGAUUCAAGCAACCAGGAGUGAAAGACCAAUCUAGCAAAUGUACAUUUCCUGGACAAAGCUUAUUUAGCAAUUUAUCAUGAUAGCUUAACCAUUUAAUUAGCUAAGAGGAGUGAGUGGGAACUGUGAAGAAUGGGUCUGAACUGGGUGACAGAAUCAGAAGUUCUUAAGUUUUGAUCUGAAAAGCACCCACUAUGUUUCUAUCUGCAAUACUGUCUAUCUGCACAAACAGUAGGGAUAGUUUGUGCACAGGGCUGAUGUAAGACAGUUUGGCACCUGAGGCGAACCACAAAAUGCCCCCUGCCAGGGAAGAAUGAGUGAGUGAAGAUCUACAUCAGGAACAAGGGUGGGAGGAGACGAGCAGUGCCUUCUAUUAUCCGAGAGACGCUUUUAGAGGUAGCAUUGGGAGGGCAGCUGCUGAGGCAGUGGCAGAUCUGGAGAUUUGCAUUCCUUGGCAGAUCUGCAUUUCUUGGACGCCAGAUCUGCUGUUCCUGUGCAUCCUGCCACCUGAGGUGGUCACCUUGCCUUGCCUCAUGGGUGGGCUGGCCCUGUUUGUGCAUAACUAUGCAUGUCAACCAUGGAAGAACAAGGGAAUUUAGGGGCAUUGCAAACAUUAUACAGGGACAAGUGUGGGUUUGCCAUCAAGUUACCCAGUGCUCCUUGACAAGUGCACUUGUACGGCACACGUAUUUGCAAACACAUGUUGUCACAUUACCACUUAACAACUUUAGGUGUAUCUUUAAGACGCUUUCCCAGUAUGUGCCUAAGAAAUCUACAAUGCAAUCUGAUACAUGCUUCCUCAGAAGCAAGCCCCAUUGAGUUCAAUGAGACUCACUGCCAGGGAUAGAAAAGCUGUGGUAUUCCAGAUAUUAUAGGACUACAGCUCCUAUAACCCCUGACCAUUUUCCAUUCUGGCUGGGUCUGAUGGGAGUCGGAGUCCAACAACAUCUGGCGAGCCACUGGUUCCCCAUCCUGACUGCGCACGAUUGCAACCUUCAUGCUCGAACUAUAUGUACUUCUUACAGCGUUGCUUCAUCAAGAGAUGGGCAUUUCUUUUGUUCGGUCUUUCUCCUUGCUAUGAAGUUACAAGAGCCACUGUGUACUUUCCUAUGUAUUUAGGAAAAUUCCAGGAAGCAUGAGAUCAUGGAUAGCUUCUGAGAUCUUUUCAUAGUUCAGAGAAAACUAGCACUAGCAAGAACACUCCGUGGAAAACAUACUACCAGCUUGUAAGAUGCAAGCCAUUUGAAAUAAAGCAGUUAGUUUGUCAAGAUGACACCUUGCUUAGAUUCAAGAGACAAGGUUAGUCCCUAGGCUCCUGGAAUUUUGCAUGGACCUUUCAUACUGUAUGGUGGUAUUCAGGUUCUCUGACAUAUUUAUAUUUUGGGGGGAUUUGAUCUUUACUGAACAUGGUGAGGCAGAGUUAUAUUGUACCAUAACAGUAAUUUGUAACUUUACAAAUACAGCAGUAUCUUAGGUUAAGAACUUUAUUCAUUCUGGAGGUACGUUCUUAACCUGAAACUCUUCUUAACCUGAGAUACCACUUUAGCUAAUGGGGCCUCUCACUGCUGCUGCGCCGCUGCCGCUCGAUUUCUGUUCUCAUCCUGAAGCAAAGUUUUUAACCCGAGGUACUACUUCUGGAAUAGUGGAGUCUGUAACCUGAAGCGUCUGUAACCUGAAGCGUCUGUAACCCGAGGUACCACUGUACUCAAAGCGAUGUAGCAGCUGAGACUUCCAGACAUCUGCUUUGCUGACUCAGUGUGGGGAUCCUUGAAGGUUUUGCUUUUAUUAUGGCAUCUUCUGUUGGCUUUGUGCAGUAUGGUAGCGCUGCAGAGAGCUUGCUGGGGAGACCAUGCAUUAAAAAGGGACUCAAAAAUAAUUUAAACAAGGUUUUAAUAAGAAAAACAAAAACUCCUUUUACACUAAAUACAUUAACAAACAAACAUGACCCAACCACCAACCCAUCCCCCAGGGUAAUGGGAGAGCUAGGUGCUGCUCCUUAUAUACUACACCCAAUUGCCAACACAGCUUAAUCAGUACAACUCGGCAGCACCUGCUAUGUUUCACAGCUGUAACGCUGGGUCUCGUUAUCUUGCUCUGGCCCUUGCUUUGGCCCCUUAAAGACAUACACAUCGGGUGGAACAGUGAUGAACCUUUACAUUUAAAGAAACCAUUCAACAUCUUCAAGGAUAAUACAAAUGCAAAAUUCUAAGACCUUAUGCAUAGAGAGGUGGUAUCACCACCCCAGUUGUUUCCUUAACAAUAGCAAUUGAUCUUAGGACAAUAAAUGUUUUACAGCCUACCUCCUAAUUUGGAAAUAUUUUAGUCAGUAUUUUAUGAGGACCUAUCCUUGGUACCAUCUUCUUAUGCUUUGGAAACUGCUUUUGCACUGGUCCUGGGCAGCUAAGUCCAGUUCAUGCUCAGUUGUUUCAUCUCUAAGGAGGGAUAAAUUUUUCUGGUUUGAGCUUCUGAAGGCAGCAUGACAAUAGAAAACACUUCACUGCUAUCGUGAGUUAAUAAAAACAUUUUUGCUAGUUCUUUCUGCAUUUUGUAUAUUACAAAACAACAUGCUUUUUCCUUCAUUGCUUUGGAAGCUGAAUGUGCAAAGGAUAUGAGCUCAGAUUUGACUCUAAGGCAACAGAGGACAGCACAGUCUUGGCAAUUAUACCAGAAGGGUCUGAAAAGCAGUAGGUCUCAUACAUGGCAUUUGUAUGUUCUGGCCUAUAAGUGGGUUGCAUCCUGUCGUGGAAGGCUUGGAGGACAUUUCCUCAAGAUGACAGACAAGGACUCUUUUAUCACAGAAUAGAAACAGGAAGGCAUACCUUUGCCAUUAAGUUAGUGGAUUUUCAACGCUGUGCUCCUGGGGCUCCUCAAGAGCAUAUUGCGGUUCCUCUAGGAGCAGAUACAUAACAGCAGACAACUCUUCCAGAAAGACAACUUGCACACCACUUCUGAUCAUCCACAAAAGAGUGGAACUACAAGGGAGUGUUGGUUGUUCUCGGGCAGACUCCCAUGAAGGGGUGUAACGAAGCUCCGACACCCUCCAAACUGAGUUGACCCUUUAGGACUUUCUACAGGAUUCUCUGUGCUGUGUGGGUGGUUCCACGGCAAGGUGCAUGGGGGGCGGGGGUGUCUCAGGAGAAAUAACCUAGUUCAGUGGUAGAGCGGAUGCUUGCUUGUAUGCAGAAGAUGCCAGUUUCAAUCCCUGCUGUCUCCAGUUAGAGGCAGCAGGUAACGUUGAAUAUUUUUCUCUGCUCGCGAUUCUGGGAGAGCCAGUAACAAAGAAGACCCUUUGGGAGAAGCGGUCUCAGCAGGUGGAAGUCUGUUUCCUCUGUUCCCCAGCAGACAAACUGGUGUGGCAUGUGGAAAGGGAGUGAUUUUGUUGCGCAUGUAAUGUUACUUGAAUGUCCUGUACCUACCUUGCUUUCCUGCCUUCUGGCUACAGCACUUGGUUCAUCUGAAAUGAGGAGACAAUUGUUUGCAAUGCUUUAGUCAUCUAUAAUCCACCUCAAAGCUCCCUAAAGGCAAAGGGAGGUUUUCCUCUUAAGCUUCAGCAGCCUUUGAAAUACAUUCCUGGGUGUUAAAAUAAUUUAUUCUAAGGGAACUUUAGACUGCAGAUGUUGCUGAAUGGUUUUGUGGAGGAGGGAGGGUGCGACCAUUUGUGAAUCUACCCUGUAUGAUUGGUAUGGGAGGAGGAGGAGGAGGAGGAGGAGGAGAAGAAGAAGAAGAAGAAGAAGAAGAAGAAGAAGAAGAAGAAGAAGAAGAGGAGGAGGAGGAGGAGGAGGAGGAGGAGGGGAAGUUUGGAUUUGAUAUCCCGCUUUAUCACUACCCGAAGGAGUCUCAAAGCGGCUAACAUUCUCCUUUCCCUUCCUCCUCCACAACAAACACUCUGUGAGGUGAGUGGGGUUGAGAGACUUCAAAGAAGUGUGACUAGCCCAAGGUCACCCAGCAGCUGCAUGUGGACACCAGAUUACGAGUUUACCGCUCUUAACCACUACACCACACUGGCUGGGAGACCCCCAAAGGUUACCCAAGAAAUCUUCUAAGCUCUUUGACCUUUGUCCUGAUCUUUUCUUCAGAUACUGAUUUUAAAAAUGUAAGGGCUUAGGUUGUUCUCUUUCUUGAGAACAGACAGAGGGCAAAAAUAUGAAUCAUUACACCAGCUUUCAGGCUCCUUCACAAAGGUAGUCGCUGAGCUAAAAACCAUCAGUUAGCACAGGGACGUGUCCAGGCAAAGUUCUUGCCAAACCGAUUCCUGCACUCUUCCUAACCCUGAACCUUUCAUGCUCAAAAUCUCUGGCUUACAAGACAUCCUGAAAGGCCACUCAGACCCACCCUCAAACCCAGAGCAAUAGUUUGAAUCCAAACCAGAAUUGCAAAUUCACUUCAAACAGCAGCUUGGAUGUAAGCUGUAGCAUGUGGAAACUAUAGUUUGCCCAAUCUGGAUGUCACAGCAAACUAUGGUUAGCACAAACUAGGCAGUGAGAGGGGGAAUUGGAGCAGGGAAGAGAAAGGGGGUGGAAGGAAGAAGCAGGCAAGUCCAAAGCAGAUUCAUAACAGCAGCUUGAAAUCCCCCUCCACCAUGCAUAAUAUAAGCUAUGGCAUUUAUUCCAUAAGUGGGGCUGAAUUUCCAUAUUUUUUGUGGGGGGCAUAAUUUGAGUCUUGAAGUGUGAUGAAAGGAUGCACCCAAUUAGGCAGAGGGAGGUGGCCACUUCAGGCAGAUUUUUGGUAUCAUGAAAAGGUAGCUAAUAAGAAUAUUUAUUCAUUUCAAAAAAUUCACACUACUUGAUUGUUAAAAGAAAACCUCAAAGUGGUUUACAAAAAGGAUAACAACAACAACUGCCAGUAAGGAGGAAAGGUCCUUGUGGCCAUAUCUGCCUCAGAUGUCAAAACAACUUGACUAGUCUUGGGUGCUGUGCAUAUUUUCAACUAAGUUUUCCUCAGAGUAGAUCCAUUAAAAUGAAUGGACCCAACUUAGGCUUUGUACACAUUCCCAUUUACAUACUACUGAUGUCUGAAGUACACAUGAUGUUAGCCAGAAUUCACCUGUAUCCUUUGGCUUCUUGAGUAACACUCCUGCUGGAUGCACUUUCCCUCAAACCAGCUUCAGUCCAUCUGAUUAGAAAACAGAAGCUGCAGUAUUCAGCGCAGGGAUGAAAUAAUGCGUAUCAGGCGAAGACAGCCCUGCACCCUGGUUUGCAUAGGAACAUAAGAAAGCAACUUGAAAUGCAGUUGAGGGAAACGACCUCACUGUAUUUCAAGCCACUAACGUGUACAUAGUGUUAGUUUUCUGUCACAUAACUCUCUGUUCCAGUUCAGAGAAGGUUACACAGCGAACCCAAAGAGGCAACAUAUCUGCAGCAUCUUCUUCUCUCAACGCCUAACCUUUCUCCUAUUUUUGCUUGCCCCAAGGAUCCCCAGCCAGGCUCCUGACUGUGAGUAUUACCUCAUCCCUAGUAUAUGUCUGCUUAGUCUGCUUAGGUAGGAUAACUCUUUCUCUACAAAUUCCUAUUUCCCUUUUUCAAGGGUAGUUUUCCAUUAGGGAGAGGAAGCCCUAGCUGUGCAAAACUGGUUAGGAAACAGAACUUUUGAACCUCUAUUUUGCUUGAUUAUUUGUCCUUACACCCCCUUUUCAAAGGAAAAUCCCGGGCUAUGUGUGUUUUAGGCCUGGUUACCUUGACACACACAGCAAGGUUGUUGUUUUAAAGUUAACAAUCCCAGUUCCAAUCCAGCAGCACAACUGAUUUCCAAGACAGGAAAAUGGCUCGGGUUUUGGGAUGGGGGGGCUUUCACCACCAGCAUCUGCCACUUGAAGCAGUUGCCUCACUCUGCCUGACAGGCCCUGACACAAACCGCUAGCAGGCCAUUUCCAGCAUGCUACAAAUACUCAUCUGAGCAUGAAGAACAAUGGUGAGUCUUCUAGCAGAUUUCCUGCCCAACAGGAGACACCAGAGUUCCAGCUGGGGGUGAGAUGAGAUGACUUAACUGUGUUGUUUUAAUGAUAGAGCUUUGAGAAUAUCACCAGGAAACCAAAAUGUGUAGCAGCAAAGAGUCAUGUUCGUACAUGACUGAGGGGGGAGUUCGCCCAGUGGAGGGGCGAACGGGCAACUUCUAACACAAUACCUUCGUAAGAAGCACCUCUUUAUAAUAAUUGCAGCCUUAAUUUUAAUUCUGAAGCGGACUUGCUGAUCCAAAGGGUGUUUGAAAUGCUGAGGCAGUUGCUUGUGAGAAGGUAUCAUUACCAAAACAUGGUCCUGAGUUGUGUUUCACCCUCAAGCUACUCUGCAGUAUAUGAUCCAGUGAAACCGUGGGCAUGAGCUGCAUAUUCAAGUCUGAGAGCAGAGUCUGCUCACCACAGACCAUGUGAAUAGUAUCUUUUCAAGUGGCCAGAGUUUUUGUGUGGCAAACAAUUUGUCAGGAUCGUGGCUAAUGGCCCCUGGUUAUGGCAGCUCCGCACAAUGAUUUGAACAAAGUAAGUUUGGGGAUUAUAAAGUAUGAAUGGGGUUAUUGAUGGGCUGUUCGGUGAGUUAUUUGAUAUGGCCUCUGCCUACUUGUAAGCAGAAGCUAAAGUACUCGUUCAGGCUGAUCUGGGCUAUUGUUGAGGAGGAGCGGGGAACCUCUUGUCUCAUUUCAGACUGAAGAGUAUGCGUAAUGUCUGUGACAGUUUGAGCCCUCAGAGAAGCAACUGGUUAAACAGAGUAGUCUAUUCAGAUAAAGCGGAGAGAUUCAUUCAGAUGGAAAUAGCUUCUGCAAGCUGAAUGGUUAUGAAGUAUAAGUGGAAAGAGCAAACAAAAGGGGAAGCUGCCUCAGAUGGAUGCAAAUUUUCAGCGCCUCAGCUAAUGCAGACAGGCAAGUCUCUUUCGCUUUGAGCAGCACUUUGCUGGUUUGUACCUGCCGAGAUCUGACCCAGAGGUGUGUUUUUUCCCUGCAUCAUGACACUACAAUUCCACUGGGGUAAGGCUCGGUGCUUCAGGAAGGCAUUUUUUAAAGGAGGCAAUUAAACAGUUGCAGGCCCUGUUGUGGAGAAAAUGAAACUGCCUGCAGUUGAAAUUAAGGUGUGCUAUUGUUACGAAGGUUGCGCACCACCCCCAAUCUCUGUUGAGUUGUAGCAAAAUUCCAGGGAGUUCCAGGCUGUGUAUCCAUUGGGAAUCAAGACGAGCAGGGCAGCAUCUAAUUCCAAGGCAUCUCUGUAUCUCUGUCCCAGCCUGCCUUCAGCCAGCCUGCGAAGAUGGUUCGGACCUUCAGCUGUCCCAUGAAAUUCUCCCUACUUUCUCCUUCUUAUUCCCAGAACACCUUGCCUUUCUGUCUGCUUGCCCUGCCCCUUUGCUAUUCCAAGUCUAGAUUUAAAAAGUGACCAUUUUCCUGUAACCGUACAUCUUCACUCUGCAUAACCUUGGCAACCUCCAUUGCCACAGACUCAAGGAUUUUCCUGUGAUGGGAUAUCAACACUGUUUGUUAUGCUUAACAGCUACUAUCCCCAAGUGAGACCCUGGACUGAAAGUUUAGCCUGUAUUUUUCCACUGGCCUGCAUCUUCCUUUCAAUACACCAAAUAUUAUCUAAAUUCUACCAUUUUAAUAAGUUUUAACACUCACUAACUUUAGCAAUUAUGGUUGCCCUUGCAUUCCCAAACUCUGUUACCCCAAAUCUGUAACAAUAUUGUUAAACUCCACCCCCAGUCUCCACAGCAGUGCAAGAUUCCAGACAGUUUCAGGUGCUUACCAAGUUUCCUUUUGGAAAAUAAUGAGGCACAAAGGAGACUCUGAUGUCUUUAUAAUAUAUGGUUUAUUUACACAUAUAUACAACCUGAGCCUAUAAUGGAGGGGUUCAGAGCAUCAGCCUUCCAAGAGGAUCUCGAAAGCAUGAGAUCUUCAAACUUUCUACUGCCAGGGUCCACCUGAGAUAGCUGAAGAUUACCGACGCCCACCAGUUACAAAAUGGUGGUGCUGGGGCAAAUCUGUCACAAAAUGGUGGCACAUGGAUGUAGAGUUUGGUAUAAUCAGCUGGCGAUUACUGACAUCACUUUCUGCUGAUGUCUAAUUCAUCUUUGAAAACUUUGAAAUUAUUUGCCAUGGCAUGUUCCUUGUGGCAAGGAGUUCCAUACCUCGGCUUUCCUCAAGCCAAGUACAGAUAUUUGCAUUCCAAGUACAGUGGUGCCCCGCAAGACGAAUGCCUCGCAAGACGGAAAACCCGCUAGACGAAAGGGUUUUCCGUUUUUGAGUUGCUUCGCAGGACGAAUUUCCCUAUGGGCUUGCUUCGCAAGACGAAAAUGUCUUGCGAGUCUUGAGAUUUUUUUUCGCUUCCCCCCCCCUUUUUCUAAGCCGCUAAGCCGCUAAUAGCCUUUUAGCAGCUAAGCCGAUAAGCCGAUAAGCCUUUAAUAGUCGCUAAACCGCUAAUAGCGCUAAUCCGCUAAGCCGCUAAUAGGGUUGCUUCGCAAGACGAAAAAACCGCUAGACGAAGACACUCGCGGAACGGAUUAAUUUCGUCUUGGGAGGCACCACUGUAUUAUGAUUCAGCCUCCUAGUUUUAGGCAGAAUUUGCUGAUCCAAAGGUUCUAAGUAGAGAAGACUUUUUCAUUUAUAUAUUUUUCCCCUUCCUACCCCCACAUGCUUCUUAAACUAUUUUCACCCAUCUCCUGUAAUUUCUUCUCCCAUUCUCCUUUCACAUUCAAUUUCUACCUUAAUCUCAGUUUGACUGUGAUUGUGGAUGCCCUGCACUUUCUUUUGAGGGAGGCCAGGAAGUGUUUAAGCUGAUCUUGGGAUAAGAUAGUGAAGUGUACCAAAGAGGGCACAAUCUGCACCUACACGUUGCACUGGAACUUGAAAUACAGAUCCAGAUUCAGUGCAGUUAUUGCAUCCAGCACAUCUGCAGUAUGGACAAAGGCAUUUUCACAGUUCACCAGUCACAAGGAAAGGUCUCAAUAAUGAACCAAACCCUCCGAGUGCCUUUCACUUCUCUUUGUGGAUAUAACAACCUGAAUGACUAACUCUGCUCCAGGGUCCUUGAUUAUUCCAUUGAAGUUUAAGUUUCAGAAGCCAAUUUUUCUCCUUCCAUUUUUGGAAGUGCUUCUAAUUUAGGGAUUUGGCUUCAUUACAGCUCUUUUCCCCAUUUAUAAUUAUUGUUCCUGCCUAAUCAAAUCUCUUGUGGAGGGAAGCGGUGCUUUAUUUAGAAUCUAAAACGUUUCUCACACUGCAGCCUAAAAUCUGCUGUCUUUUGCCAAAUGUUUCCAAGGCAAUUUCUGUAGUGCAUUUCGAACAAAUUUAUAGUCUUGGUGUGACGUGUAGGAAGAAAAUGCAUUGCAUGCCUUUGGGUUUAUCCAUUUGGCAGCAAAUGCUGAGCUCUGAUGAGUAUGAUGCUGUCUCAGCUUCAGGGCGUACAGAAACACUUGAAAAAUGUCUGUCUAAAUCCACUUAGCAUGCUUUGCUACUUUAUGGCCAGCUUUUGUUUUUUAAAAAAGCUUUUUGGUAUGCAUGUCCAGGACUAAGGGCAUGAAGAUAUUUUAUCCAUUUUUCAAAUACUUUUUGUAUAGAAGAGAUAUUGAAUCUUAUUGAAUUAUAUCAUGGGCAAUAUUCUACUCCAGUGAUUCUGAAAUGUUUUAUAUUCAGGCACAAUUUUAUUUUUUUACACUAAAAAAUGUCUACAUUCUUUCAAGCAGUGUUGUGCCACCACAUUUUGAAGAAGUACACAUUUUGGAAAGCACAUUGCCAUCUAAAUAAUCCCCCCUAUUACCUAACUGCAUCACUGAUCUCAGUCAGCUCUUAGAACUACCAUUGCAACUGUGUGAUAAACAAGUUAUAAUUGGGCCAGUUCGGAUACAGGGAUACUGGUUUCAUAUGAAGCUGGGAAUGACUGUUAGCCUUUCAAGUUCAUUUCUCAUGCCUUCCCUCUCUCCUUCCUCAUAUGCUGGUUUUAGCACUUUGAUCUCAGUUAAAGCAAAUCCAUUUCCUAAUAAAUCCAACACUGGAAACUCUGCCUUGUGGUGGAUCUUGGGGUCUCAAAUUUCAGCGGUGCCCUGUACAACGCCAAAACCCGGCACCUCUCCACCUCUUGCAAAACUAUUGUAAAUCAUAUUUGUGGGGUCCCUGGCGUUGCCCCCAAGACUCAGUGCCCAGUGUGACUGCACCAGUCGUGCUCCCCCAAAUCCUCUUCUGCUGUGGCUAACCAGGAUCUGAAACCAGGAUUAAAAUGUGAUUUCAGACCCUGGUUAGUAAACUGAAAGUAAUGCUACAGUUUCUCAUUUCAGGCAUAACAGGGAAACCGUGGUUUUUUAAAAAUAUAAUAAUAAUAAUAAUAAUAAUAAUAAUAAUAAUAAUUUAUUUAUACCUCGCCCAUCUGGCUGGGUUUCCCCAGCCACUCUGGGCGGCUUCCAACAAAACACUAAAAUACAAUAACCUAUUAAACAGGGCUGCCUUCAGAUGUCUUCUAAAAGUUUGGUAGGUAUUUUUCUCUUUGACAUCUGGUGGGAGGGCGUUCCACAGGGCGGGUGCCACUACCGAGAAGGCCCUCUGCCUGGUUCCCUGCAACUUGGCUUCUCGCAGCGAGGGAACCGCCAGAAGGCCCUCGGCGCUGGACCUCAGUGUCCAGGCGGAACGAUGGAGGUGGAGACGCUCCUUCAGGUAUGCUGGACCGAGGCCGUUUAGGGCUUUAAAGGUCAGCACCAACACUUUGAAUUGUGCUUGGAAACGUACCAGCGUUGAAGCCCUGGAGCCAGUGCAUGAUGGGUAAAAGUGCAUCGGCUCAUUGUCUCUUAGUGUUCCACCUUCCCCUUUGCCCAGUGAGUCAAAGCUUGGGUGUUGCUAUUGUGCUUUCUCCCCAAGGCUGAGGCUUCUGCAUCUCCUCUUAUGUGAGCCUGCUGUUGUACAGGUAGCACUAGGGAGUCUGCCAGCAGCUCUUCAUGGUCUCCAUUAGCAGAUCCAUCCCUGCAUGGCAGGGACUGAGCCUCAGGCCCAUGAAUGGCAACACAUUAUUCUAUUAUUUAACUGCCUCUCUGCUGGUUAUUGGCGCUUAAAUGAUGCUCAUCAAUUACAGUGAAAAUAACGAUCCUUGUGGCAGUUUCUCCCAUGAGCUCCCAUAAAAAAAUGCCUUAUCCUAUCAGCUGUUGCUCUAAGGCAGAAGCUACAGUAUAGCACAGAAGUCAGCAAACUUUUUCAGCAGGGGGCCAGUCUACUGUCUCUCAGACCUUGUGGGUGGCUGGACUAUAUUGGGGGAGGGGAUGAACGAAUUCCUAUGCCCCACAAAUAACCCAGAGAUACAUUUUAAAUAAAAGCACACAUUCUACUCAUGUAAAAACAACAGGCAGGCACCACAAAUAACCCAGAGAUGCAUUUUAAAUAAAAGGACACAUUCUACUCAUGUAAAAACAGGCUGAUUCCCAGACCGUCCAUGGGCCAGAUUUAGAAGGCGACUGGGCUGGAUCCGGCCCCCGGGCCUUAGUUUGCCUACCCAUGGUAUAGCACAACCAGUUGCUGCUGGAGGUUACCAGUGGAAGAAGGAAAGAGGAAUAGGAUUGGCUGGAUGCUGUAAAAACAAAGGAAUAAAGUGAUCUGUUGUUUAUAGUUCACUUAACCAGUAUCUUCUCUGCCUUUGGCCCUGAAGAUUUUCGGCAAUUUGGGUUCCGUCCACACAACAAAUUUAGUGUGACUUCAUUGUCACACAUGUCAAAGCCCAAUGUGGACAGUGUGAAUUCUUUUUGGGUGUUUGGGAGAAUCAACUGCAUAACCUACUUCGUAUUUCUUUUCUUUUAAAGAAAUGUCCAUGCUGUCUUCACAGCUGAAGCAUAGUUAUGCAAAACUGCAUAAACUGAACUGUGGGCCAAAACGGACAUGAUGCGGGUGCUCAUGUGAACAGGGUCUACCACAUUAAAACAAACAAACAAACAAUCAUAGCAGCAGUGGGCAACACUGAUUCAGACUGAGAGUGUGGCAGUGUGAAGGAAGUUGACCCUAUUGGGGUGUCGUGAACCCCUCCACAUCAUAGCAACAGCAACGACACCCUAAUAGGGUCUUGUUUCUCCCAUAGCCACAGCUUAGGAUUCAACCAGACAUCAGACAUCAUGUUCUGACCCUCUCUCCAGCUUGCUGCCUUUACCAGACUGCAACCUUUUACCCCUCCAACUCAAACUCUAAACCCUGGCUUUUGUUCUUCUAACCAUCUCUCUCACCUGAAGGAGGAGCCCUACCCAACUGCCUUCUGGCACAAAGGCCCCACUCAUUCUGCCUUCCUAAUGGCUGAUUGCCUUCUUUUUGUCUUCCUAAUGGCCUCUCACCCAAGGCAAGUUAUUGGUCAGGAAACUGGCCUGGCUUAUAUUUAAACAUUUGUUUUGAUUAGAUUCUAACACCUACUGGAGCCAGGGAAUUUAGGGUGUAUAGCACCCACAAACUCAUAACAGUUAAAUGUGGUUACCCAUGUGCUUUGCUUAGCUGAGCUAAUAGCAACUCAGAAAAUAGUGUGCAGGUGAAGGGGUUAACACAUUACCCCAUGCUGGUGGGGUAGCAUGGUUGCUAUUAUUUAUUUAUUCCCCAGGCCACACGUCCUUCUAAGCCACACCCACUCUCUCUAGGCCACAUGUGUCCCCAACCUUGAAGUAUGAUGACAUCCUUGAAAAUCUGGUAACGCCUCUUGCUUGACUGCAUGGAGGAUAGAGAGGAGUACAUGUGGAGAAACUAUCCUACUGUACAAAUAUAAAAUUUAUAUUCAUUUCUCUAUCCACAGUUGUCUCUGGUUCACCUCAGAAUGAAAAACAUUUCCCAUUCCCAAAACAGAGGAUGCCUUCAAUUAGAGGUUUGUUCUCCUACUGUUCUUGAAGUGGAGGAUUGUUGUCUGUGAAGUGCAACGAACAUGGUCAUCCAAAUGCAUGGAACAGACUGCAAAAUGUGAACAGCUAGAUCAGCUUGUUUAGUUAUAGAUAGAAAGAAUCUUUAUCUGCUCUGGGUAUGGAAAGCUGCAAGUGUGGGAAGAAAUGCUCCACAGAGCAUUGACACGAAACAGUUAAGUAUAUAUAGAAAGCAGAGUUUUGUGAGGCCUAGCCAUAGAGCUCUUGUAUUUAUUAGAUUUGCUUUUGGGUUUUCUUUAGCACAUUAAUAGCAGAGCAAAUGCAGCUGGCCCUGGGAGAUUAGAUAGCUAUUGUUUAUUAUUUCAUUCAUUGUUCAGUAUGUGCUCUUUUCUGUAAAUCCUCCAAUUCCUUUGGCAUUUCUCUUUGUCCCGAGGUUAAAAGUGCAGCAAAUCUUUAUACAAACUGCAGCAGAUCUGCAUUGCAAGUGUUUGUCAAGCAUGAGGGUUGCAAUCCUCAACACACUAAGAAGGGCAGGUCUCAUACUGAAUGCCACAUACUUAAAAAAAAAAAGCUUUACAUUAAUAAACCUAAAAUACAGUAAAAUUCGUUGAAUCCAAUUGAUCUGUACAGGACAUUAACAUCUUUGGAUAAAACAGGAGUGUGUGGGUGGCGGGUAAAAUAGUCAGGAGAGGAGGCACAAAACAUGUUAAUAAUUAGGAGCUUUGGAAAACCAAGGUUUUUGGAUCAGACACCCACAUAAGCAUUGCAACUGCCUUGCUGGAAGAAACCAAAGUCCACCUAGCCUGGCUUUGCAAUUCCAACCAGCAAAAUGCUUCUGGAACCUCACAAAGCAUCAAGGCAUGAGGUCAGGAGAGGGAGGGAGAGGGAGAGAGAGAGAGAGAGAGAGAGAGAGAGAGAGAGUGCUGUGGGAUAUACAGUGCUCAAACAAAAUUAAUCUGGGCCUGGAGCAACUUUGUAAAUACAAGACCCCGUCCCAAAAUCCUUUGUCUGCCCUUGAGCUUCUUUGGGUCCUUAUUUUUUGUUAAAGCUUCUUACAUCUUUGGCAAAUAAGGUCAAAUGACAUUUAGCUGCUCUUCCCUUGCCCCUGGAUCAAGGGUCGAUUCUCCUAUAAACUCAGGAAACUACAGGCCCCAACUCACACAUAUUUUGGGGAGCUGUAAAUGUUAUCUCAGUGCCCCUAAAUUACUGAUGGUGCUGCCUACUGCUGUGUUCUGAUGUGGCCUCUACCUGCCCAUGCACAGAAAAGACCAGCAGGAACUAAGGAAGUCUGGGACUUGUAGUUCUUGGAGAGCGUGUUGCACAUGGAGAGGCACAAUAACUCUGUGUAGAGCUUGAUGGGUUAAUUGAAGGCAUCUGAAGGCAGCCCUGUUUCGGGAAGCUUUUAAUGUUUGAUGUAUUAUAGUAUUUUAAUAUUUUUUUGGAAGCCGCCCAGAGUGGCCGGGGAAGCCCAGCCAGAUGGGCGGGGUAUAAAUAAUAAAUUAUUAUUAUUAUUAUUAUUAUUGCUCACUCUUCAGAAUAUUGCUUUAUUUUGUUCUGAGAAUGGGCAAAAUGUGAUGGGGGGUGCUGAGGAUCAUUUGGAUGGACUUGAACUGCGAAUUGAACAUGGACUGAACUAGUUUGUUUUGUAAAGGGACGAAUCUGAACUGGAAUUAGUUCAUUUUUGGACACCUUGAACUUGAACUAGAGCUUGUUCCUUUUUGAAAUGAGCUCUGCAAGCUCUGGUGAUGCCUAUCUGUUGGUGCUGCCCUUAGAUUCAUGCAUCUACUACCUCUUUCAUUUCAUUUUAUUUUAUUUUACUUGCCUCUUUGCGAACAACUGAGUCAGCAGUACCCCAUAUACGCACUUGAUGAACUUCAAGCAUGUCUAUAAAUGUCUCGCUGGAUCAAGGCCCAAAUGCUUUAAUGAUUGAGGUAAAGGUAGACUUUGCAACAUGCCUGGAAGGUUUAACUUUUCUGAACUUGGAUGAAGCAAAAGGAUAAGAGAAUUGCAGGGCUUAGUGUGGGGUUUCACUGCAUAGUAAUUUAUUUUCAAAAUUUGUUUUAAUUAAGAGGCUUAAGGGAAGUGAUAUUUAAAGGCUGUGAUUUUGACAUCAUCGUACACCCCUGGCGGGGCAGGCGAGAUAUAUAGAUUUGGUUAGGAAGCGUUGGUUAGGACUUCCUUAAGUCCUCCCAGUGAGAAAGAUGAAUGUGAACUGCUAGAAAUUGUUAAAUGCAAAUGGAAGGGGAGAUGAGAAAACAGGGGGAAUCAAUUGUGCUUGCUUCCUAGGACUUCCCAGCUAAAUUUUCUUUAUGUUAUAGGUAUAUCAGAAGUUGCCUUAUUUCAAGUCAGACCAGUGGUCUGUUUUAGGUCUGGUUGUAAUCCUUGGUGGCUUCCAAAAUAUUGCUAACAGAGCUGUCAUUUUUCUUGCUUGAAUGCUUGUUCAACAUUUCCAGUAAUAAAGGAACCAUGUACUUGGAGUAAUCUUGAAACUGCUUUAUGUCAUGCCUUCCUUGAGCUUCCUCCAGCCCUCAAGUCUGUUUAAAAAUUGUGAUCUCAGCAGUGUGGGCUGUAACGAUGUUUUUGACACGUUGCUGACCAUAUGACAUCAGCCUGUGGGCAAAUGUGUGUGUAACAUAUUUAGCAUGUAAGCAGGCUAGAACAAGUGGUUUUGAUGCCAAGAAGCCAUAAUUUCCUUAGUUUUCUCUUUUUGCAUAACAGGCAGAAAGAUUUUUGCUUGGGUAAUGGACAAAAGAGGCAAAUCUCGAGGCAUGAAGCAGAGCAGAAUACAUUUUCUGUAAGUGGAAGCAUGUUUCUUAAAGCCCAGCAGCUCAAGCAACCAGGUUGUGUAAGGAAAAUCAAACAUUAUUCACAUGUAAAUAGUGGCAAAUUCCAGAGUAGGCAUUUAAAUCAGGAUCCGUACAUACUGUUAUUUUCCCCCAACACCAGAUAUAAUGUAAUUCAAAUCCUGUAACCCUCCCAUUUGUUUCCCAUAAGAAAAUCUCUAAACUUUAUUAGUGAGUAAAUCCAGCUACUGUAGUGUGAUGUCUGCCAAUGUGCUUGUCCUAGCCAUGACACUAUUUUUGUGUUUUAGGGCUUGAUCUUUUUGCUGUUUGCAGGGAGGGUGUGCUCUCAUGCCACUUUCCCUGAGUUCUGGUGGCCCUGCAGCUGAUUCAGAUGCAAUUUGCCGUCUUUAAAAUCACAGGAAAGAAGGAUUGAUUUGAGCAAGAGAGAUUUUAUCUGCUUUAAUCUGUUAAAUGGAGUUGAUUUAUUAACAGCGCUAUCUGCCCUGUCCUGUAGAACAGAGACAAGGAGCUUCUGGUUCUACAGAUGUUGCUGGACUCAGCUAGCAUAGUCAGUGGUCAGGAAUGAUGAGACAACAUCUGUAGGGACGCAGGUUCCCCACCCCAGCUGUAGAACCUUCCCAGACAGAGAGACAAUGGACAGUGCCCAUCUGGUGCUGUACAUAAACUGGGGCUAUUUUUAUUUGCUUAUUUAUGUAGCAUCAUGUAUGUACAUAAACCUUAGAAAAUAAUGAGAGGAAGAAGACAGAUCCUAACCCCAAGGAGUUUACAAUCUAAGAAUAGACACAAGGGAAGCAACAGUUGGAGGGGAAUGGAAGUAGGUGUAAACAGACGAAGAAUAUGUGAUUGCAAUGAAAAUAAUCACACAUUCUUCCCCUGUUUACACCUACUUCCAUUCCCUUCUGACUGCUGCUUCCCUUGUGUCUCUGUUCAGAUUGCCAACGACUUCUUGGGGAAAUGUAGGCUGAUAAUCUAGACUGAUGAUUAAAGACAAAAUGAUUUCAGAGAUAGCCUUGAGUCAGUACUAGCUUCUGAAGGGUGGGACACACACACUUCUUCUUCUUCUUCUUCUUCUUCUUCUUCUUCUUCUUCUUCUUCUGCGAUUACUCAUAGGCGAGUAAGAUUGUCUUCCAUAAACAUGGUUUUAACAAUGAGUCCAUAAGUGACUGUGGAGGCCAAUUCUGGAACCACGUGUCCUUCCGUGUGCCUUCCUCUUAGCACAUUUCUCCCUUGCGUCCUGGGUUCGAGUGUCUUCAAAGCCCAUGACACCUUUGGUAAAGGCUGUUCUCCAACUGGAGCACUCGCAGGCCAGUGUUUCUCAGUUGUUGGUGUUUAUACUACAUUUUUAAAGAUUAGCCUUGAGACAGUCUUUAAACCUCUUUUGUUGACCACCAGCAUUACGCUUUCCAUUUUUAAGUUCGGAAUAGAGUAGUUGCUUUGGAAGACGGUAAUCAGGCAUCCGCACAACAUGACCAGUCCAACGAAGUUGAUGUUGAAGAGUCAUUGCUUUAACACUGGUGAUCUUUGCUUCUUCCAGUACACUGGUAUUAGUUCGCCUGUCUUCCCAAGUGAUCCCUCCACACCAGAGAGUUCCAUUCUUCAAUAGGUAGGCAGUCAACAUUGUGCAGCAUUGGACUGGAGAAUGUUUCUUUCUUUGAGAUGCACACAAAAGGCUGCACUAUACAACUGAAGAAGAGAAAGAUUGAGUUCACACAGACAGCAAACUGGAAGAUAAUACAGUAUGCACAACAGAAGUGCUUUCAUAGUUAAAUAGACCAGAACCUUUGCCUGAGGGGGUAGGAAGGUAGGAAUUAACUGUUCCUCCUUGGUUGACUAGUGUGGCAUCCUGGAUACAAUGGAUUUGUUCAGUGCUUGAGGUCAUUCUUCUAUCUAUGAACUAUCUUACAGUUUUAGAAGCUGUUUCCUUACUGCGAUUGCUCCCAACCCUGUGCCACACGAAGGUUUUAUAGUAAAAUAUAAUACUAAAUGAUUAGACAUUUUCAAAUGUGCAAGUCUACCAUUAUGUUCCAGCUUUUUACAGGUCAUGGAGGUUAAGAAAAUUAAGUGGAGGAUGUUUCCUAAAUGAAUUGGCAGCUCCUUUGUCCAGUCCACCAACUUCUGGGUGGCUGGGUGGGAACAAUUAGGUUUUUCAGAUCAUGGCACAAUUUAAAAUAGAAACUGCUUGCAGGUGGUUCUUUGCCAUACACUGACAGUAAUUAAAUGGUGUGGUCUGUGUUUUAUGGCCCUACAGCUUAGAUGCCAGUUCUUGUAAACAAACAAACAAAAAUUCUCCCCAAUAGACCUGGAUGUUAAGAACUCCUUCCUCAAAGUAAAUUCCAAAGAAUGUGUCUUUUAAUGAUCCUCAGAGACAAGGCACAGAGCGAGAGAGAAAAGUGAAAAGUGAUAAUGAACUAAAAGAGUUUCUCACAGUGAUUUCAAAUGGUUAGGAGGGUGGUACAAAUAAGUAACAAGAAUUAGCUAUUGAAAAACAACCUUUUGAUAACAUUGUAUUUUGGCAAUACAUUCAUUUGUUAGGUGUUAAUUCUUAGCAGUAACUAUGGAAAAAUGAGCAGUGUUUGUUAUGUUCUGGGAUUAUGUUCUGGAUGCUUUUAAUUUAUGGUCAUAAAAUGUUGGAUCAUUUUUUUAAAAGAAUAUUAUUUCUUAAAAAAUGAACAAAGUCAAUAUUUUCUCAUCCAUCUUCUUUUUUGUUGGGCUGGUUCCAGGAUUUGCUCCACCUGACAAAAGCUGAACUGAAGAAAAUGGGAGCUGAGGAUCAAAUCCUUUCUAACAUCUUGCUCCUUAAGGAAACAGAAAUAAAAGAUGGUAAGAAGUAGGUUCUAUCUAAAAUUAAUUUGUCAGUCUUAUUGGUGAAUUUAAAACGAACAUUUCGUUACUGGCUGCCAAUUCAUUUCCGUGGUCAGUUCAAGGUACUCACAUUUGAACACUAAAUGACUCAGGCCCCAAAUGUCUGAAAGAUCAUCUCCUUCCUUACAGACACUCUGGAAAAUUAAGAUUGGCAGAUUGGGGCCUUCUUGGUAGUUCGUUCACCUUCAGAGGUUCAGGUAGGUAGUCGUGUUGGUCUGACGCAGGUGAAAUUAAAAAAUUGUCCAGUAGCACCUUAGAGACCGACUAAGUAUCUGAAGAAGUGUGCAUGCACACGAAAGCUUAUAUCCCAAACAAACUUAGUUGGUCUCUAAGGUGCUACUGGACAUUUUUAAAAUUUAUUUCACCUUCAGAGAUGUGUUUUAAUGUUGUAACCUUCCCUGAAGAAGAACCAGGAUAGAUUCCGCAAGGGUAAAUCCAGUUUCUCAGAUAAUCCAGUCAUUUUAUGGUAUAUUAACGGUACAAUUGUUUAUCUUUAUUGCUUGUAGUUUACUUAGUCCACAGUCUGAAAUUCCAAUGAUCAGCCCAUCAGGGAGCAUUUCAGAAGUGCUGCACACCUGCCUUCUGAAGCGCCAAUGAUCAGUUGAUCAUUGGGAGUUUAAAGCACAGAACAAUGCUCUUAUGUUCUUAAGGUAAACAGUUAGGAUUAAAUCACUUUAAUCCUCUCUUGUGCUUUUAAAGUAAGUGUCUGACAGCUGAUAGUGGGGAAGAGAGGCAUUUGUAAUGCACAUGAACAUUCUGAUGCAUAGGUUUCAUAUACAAGUUACACACUUUAUUUUGCAUCCUGUUGGAAAGAUGAUUGUGAUUCUGAAAGACACAGCAAAUUCAUCUCCUAAUAGCAUUUUGAUUGUGCAAACUGUGGAUUAACAGUCCCUACCAGCAAAUCAGCCUUCUUUUUGCAUUACUUCGUCCCUGCCUCUAUUUUACUGAAAGGGGCGAUUGAAGCUGAGCAGAGGAAAGCACAGAAAAGAGACUUAUCAUGCAAGAACUGUCCUGAACAAAUGUGAAUGUUGACAUCCUCUGCAGAUUCAGUGCCAGCUUAGGAUCAACAAACUCAAGAGCUUUCCUCAGGAAUGCAGAGGAGAACUUUUAAAAAACAAAACACAUAAUCACAGAGGAGUCCUGGGCGAUAAGAGAAAUAUGAGAAAAUGAAUGCCUCUCUGCAAUUAAAGCCAUUAUCAAAAGGGAUAGUGUGUGCUUUGUAGGCACUAUUUAUCCAUCAAAUUCUUUUUCCAUCGAUCUGUGGUUUCAUAUUAAUUUUUUUCUUGAAAACUUUGCAUAUAUAUGUGUGUGUGUGUGUGUGUGUGUGUGAGAGAGAGAGAGAGAGAGAGAGAAUGGGCCUCCCUGGUGAAUUUUUUAAUCCCCCUUCCAGCUUUCAGUAAUGUGCUGCCAUGCUGCUUUUGAAACUCUUCUUCAGAAGCAAUUUGCCUUAUAUUUUAGUCUUACUAAAACUUUGCUUUGAUCGAGUGGUGAGGGUUGGCAGUGUGUGUGGCCUAGAUGGCACCAUUCGGAUUGUGGGCAGUUGCAGGAAGUGUGGCAGUGUGAAUUAUGUUGGCUUGUUACAGGAUAAGGGGGUUAGACAUCUGAGAGCUCUACCUCCUUCCAAUCAGCUUCGGCCUUGUAUACCUGAAGGAGCGUCUCCACCCCCAUCAUCCAGCCCGGACACUGAGAUCCAACUCUGAGUGCCUUCUGGUGGUUUCCUCAUUGCGAGAAGUGAGGUUACAGGGAACCAGGCAGAGGGCCUUUUCAGUAGUCAUGCCCACCCUGUGGAAGGCACUUUAGCUGAUGUCAAACAGAUAAACAGCCAUGUGAUUUUUUAAAAGACACCUGAAGACAGCCCUGUUCAACCUGAAGGCACCCCUGUUUAGAGGAGUUUUUAGUGUGUGGUAUUGUGUUUUUACUAUUUUUUGUUGGGAGCUGCCCAGAGUGGCUGAGGCAACCCAGUCAGAUGGGCAUAUAAAUCAAUUAUCAUCAUCAUCAUCAUUUUCCCAACAACAUGUCAGUGGGUGCCAAGUGGGCUUCUCUGCAGGACCAGAAUGGGAAUGGCAAAUUCAAGCAUCCUUGCUGAGGCCCUCUCGUCUGUUGCAGAUCAGGAUUUCAUGGUCUCCAUGACAACAAUAUCUGUCUCGAUUGAUAUCCGGCCUCUUUCAUUUGGCUGGUCAUACACUUGAUUUGGUGUUAUAUUCUGAACAGGGUGGUGAUCAUGGGUGGAGAAGUUUGACAUGGUUCCCUUGGCAUGGAUAGAGCUCUGCCUGGCAGGUUUUAGGCUUACUGAGUGGAGGGCUUAUUAGAACAGUCUGCCCUAGAGAAAAAUAGAUCCAGUCCAGAUUAAGUCCUGCUGGCUCUGGGGCAAUGUAAUGCUGGCAGUCCUAUCAAAGCACUUGAUAACAUCUGGAAUGGGGAAACUACAUGAGCAGUUGCUAUGUUCACUCCAGAGUGAUCUCUCUGUUUGGUGAGCCCGUGUGGCUCCCUAGUUUUCUGAGCAAUGAAACUUUUCCCUUCCAGCAAAGGAAAAUGCAUGAUGAAUUUGACUGAAGUUGGGCUAAAGCUCAUUUCAGAGCUCAUCUCAUGGCAGCGAUGGUGGAAAAUAAAUCUUGGUUUUCUGGCACCAUUUUGUCCGUACAGAGUUGUCUGGCAGAAUUGUUCCAAGUGGCUCCUGAGACGUGAUGGUUACCUGGUGUGCCCUAUUUGCCAAGCACUUUGUAGUCAACAUCUCUGAUAGACAUGUCUGCCUUGACUCCAAAUUGAGGGCAGCACCAGAUGCAGCUGCUUCUCCUGUUUCUAUGGAUACUUCUUGGUUUGCAUAGCCUGUGGAUGUAGACGGAAUUAUUGAAGUUGGGCGCUUCAUCACUUGGCAUGCUCAAUCCUUGCCCUUCCUGGUUGAUUAAGGAAGCCAGCGCUGGGUAGGCUGAUUCGGUUGGGGAGCAAAGGCCAUCGUUCCAACAGUAUUGAAGGAAGUGGUGGUAAAACCAGUAUGGAAAAAGAUCUUCCUGCCCUUUAUAAUGUUCAUCCAGCAGCAUCAAACAUCUCACUUUUGGGCAAGGCACUCAAGAAUAUGGUGAGAAAUAUGUGUGUGAAAAAGGAGGGGCUGGGGAGUUCACAAUUCCACAUCCUACUCCUCAUCUCUUGAUCACAGCUAGAGAAUAGGAUAUUAUGUCGUUGCUGUGCAUGCUGAGUCCCUUGUUUGUUGAUAAAUAUGUGGGAGUUUCCUUAAUUGCACAUCUUAUGUCGCAUGUGCAAAUGAGAGUGCCUAGUGUUGACUGAGGGAACUCAGAAGCUGGAAGGGUUUCCACCUUGAUGAAAAGCAGUAGAAUCAAUGGCAGGAACAAUUUCUGCUCCUGUUUUUUAGACACAAACUGAACUACAAGUUGUAGAACUAAGAUCCUGAACUACAUCUUUGCCUUGUUUCACAGCAUUGCUGGUGAAAGAAUAGGUUCAUCCUAUUCAAAGGGCCUGGGAAUCUUGCUUUUAAAUAGAUCUGUUGUGUCAGUUAACUGUGACUACAGGCUAUUGUUUUCAUAGUGGGGAUGAGAAGCUGUUAUCUGGUCUCCAGCCCAUUGUGAAGAGUUUUUGUUUUGUGUCUGCUUUGGAUAAAGUGCUGUGUCUAGGAGCAAGAGUGCAUGAUCAGUUACUCUGGGAAUGCUUGCUUUUAGCACUUGAACUACACUUGAGCAUCAAAUUAUUGUUGCUUUUUAUCCUUCUGUUUGCAAAAUAUAUUUAUUUAAUUUUUUUCUACGUAAAGUUUUCCCAACACUGCAGGAUAAAAUGAAUAGAUUUUUAAAAAAGCAUACUGUUUCUGAACCCAGUUAUUUCAGCAAAUCCGUACCGAACUGAAAUGUAAAAUCUCUCAAUAAAUUUCAGGUAGCUAUGCUGAUUCAUUUGAAACAAAUCCAAGAGCAACAGCAACAUGCUGCUACAAUUGUAGCAUUUCAAAAACAAUCAAGUAAACAUUCAUAGCAAAGUAGUGAUCACCGUCUGUUCUUCUGAUAAUGUUUAAAAUCCUCACUAUCACAGCAAGUGUGUGUUUGAUUGGCUUUGAUUUGCAGAUUGCAGACUGGAGCCAAGCCCUCUAGUAGCUUUGCCAGCCAACAGAACAUUCCACUUCAAACUCUUCCAUAUUAUUAUUCAUCCAAAUAUUCUAUCAGUACCUGUGUGGUCUUCUGAAGUCACCCUUCACAGCUAUCAGAACUGGAGACUUCUAGACCAUCUUGUUACCUUUUUUUUAGAAGAGCUGAAUGCGUAGACCUAAGUUGCCAAAUAUGUAAACAAACAGAUCUGGCUUUUGUAUGUCGUUAAGGAAGUUCUAUUUGGGGUGGGGUGGGGAGACAAAUGACUCUACUAUCCUAUCCUUUGAAGAUUCCAGCUGUAUCCUUAUUUUUUUCUGUUUAGAACCCUACUGAGCCACAUCUUUGUGGACAUCACAAACUGAGUCAAAAAUAUCACUGACAUCUUCACACACAAAGAUAAGCUAUUGCUCAUUUUGUAUUACAGUGGUACCUCGGGUUACAUACGCUUCAAGUUACAAACGCUUCAGGUUACAGACUCUGUUAACCCAGAAAUAUUACCUCAGGUUAAGAAUUUUGCUUCAGGAUGAGAACAGAAAUUGUGCAGCAGCGGCAGCAGGAGGCCCCAUUAGCUAAAGUGGUGCUUCAGGUUAAGAACAGUUUCAGGUUAAGAAUGGACCUCCAGAAGGAAUUAAGUAUGUAACCAGAGGUACCACUGUAUUGCUGGGAGAAACUGAAGCAAUUUCUAUCCUUGCAAGAUAUCAUGUUUCUCAUUCGAAGUUCCAUACAGUGAGAGAGAGAGAGAGAUCCAGCCAUCCUUCAAAUAGUGGGAAUAUCUAUAAGGUGGUCAUUAUGACACGCUGAGCUUCAAUCUUGAGUUGCCCUUUUGUGAAUGGAAAGGAACUGUGACCCAGAGUCCAAUUCCUUUUUUAGAUGACGGGGACGGUAGCCCUGAGUUGAAAGCAAUAGUCCCAUUCUUAACUCUGGAAAUGGUGCAAAGUCCUCCUGCAUUUCAUUAUUUUCAUUUGCAAGUACUAAUCUGAAGAAAUGGAAAACUAAUAGGAAGUAAUGCUGCAUGAUUUGAAGAAUGAUAUGAGUGAUACAUGAUCACAUGACCCGAGUAAUUGUCAUCAUUAUGUUGCACUUGGUUGUUUCAUGAGGAAGUGUGGUGUUUCUUUUGCUGUACUCAUAGUAAUGUGACCACUGAAAAAUCAUAUGAUAUACCAAUGUGUGCAUUCAACGAACUGGUAUUUUGUACCAUUUAUUAACUGCUUUUAACUAGUGUAUUUUUAGACUGUGUUGAUGUAUUACAUUUUCUGAGCCACAGUCUCAUGGUCACCAGACCACAAAUGCAGAAACACGGGAAGGUGCCUUAUAUCAGGUCAGAUUGUUUGUCCAACUAGCACAAUAUUGUCUAUUCUGGCUGGUAGUGGCCCCUGGAGUCUCAGGUGAGAUCUUUUGGGCAAAAGAUUCCUGCAUUGCAGGGGGUUGGACUAGAUGACCCUCGGGAUACCUUCUAACUUUACAAUUCUCUGUUUCUUUUUAAAGAAAGUUUCUUUUGCUCAAUAAGUAAGCUAGCCAUGACUCAUUUUUAAUUGAUGUCAAUGGAUUGUGGCCUCUGUCUUUUUAUCAUGUUUGCACCACAUAUUAAUAUUGAAUUAAUAGAAAUUUUCUGUUAAAUGUAUGUGUUCCACUACAGUUCUGAAUUAUACCAGCAACUUUCAAAAAUGAACUUCUGUAUAACAGCUACUGAGUGCCAGAUGUCAGAAUGUUAUACGAACUUACUCUUCUAUAAGUGUGCCAAAAACUGUUUUGAAUUGAGACAUAGGCUCCUGAAUUCUUACACAACUCCAAAUGUUAUUUAAAGCAAUUUAUCCUAAAUAAUCUCCUUUUGCUAUGUUGGAACUUUGGAAAGGAGCCAUUUCGCUGAGACAACAUGAGAUAUUUCAUUAUAUUAACUUGAAUUAACUUCCAGAGUGAGUUUAUAAAUUGAGCCAGGCACAAUUUAUGUAAGAAAGGUUUUUUUUGGUUGUUUGUUUUUUAAAAUAAAUGGUUGUUUUUCAGACAUUUAAAAAAUGAGAACUAUUCCAUCUUCUUUCUGGGUAUCUUCAGAUAUGCUUCUAAUGAACUCUACCCUGCAUGAAAUCCACCCACUAGGCAUUUCCUUUAUAUUUGGGGGCUUCUUGUAAGUGCAAAUAGGAAAAAUCUUGUUCACACAAUAUGUUCACAGAGAUGAGAAAGCUCUGGCCCUCCAGAUGUUGGAGAACAGUUCCCAUCAUUGCUGACUAUUGGUCAUGCUGGCUGGGACUGAUGGAAGUUGGAGUCUAACAACCCCCAGAGCGCCAUAAAUUCCCCAUCCCUGACUAUAUGGAACUCACCGUCAUAAGAUAUAGUGAAUGUCACUAGCACCGUUGGCUCUUUUAAAAAGGAUGUCACAAAUUUACACAAAUAGGUCUAUCAAAGGCUUUAACCAUUAUAACCAAAUGGAGGGGCCCUCUGGGUACUAUAUGCUGGUAAGUAACCAUGAAGGGCUGUUGCCUUCAUGUACCAGCACACAACUUGGGACUGGUUUGGAGUCAAUCAGACAAGGCUGGGUUUGGGGCCAUUUACUUGUGACCCCGGUCUGAAUGUUUGAUUAUUCAGUUUGGUGGGGGGGGGGGUGGCACAAAAUGUGGCUUUGAAGCACAAAGUGGCACAAAACGAGCACAAAACUUUGACGGAGAGUCACUGUGGUGUAGUGGUUAAGAGCGGUAGACUUGUAAUCUGGUGAACCGGGUUCGCGUCCACGCUCCUCCACAUGCAGCUGCUGGGUGACCUUGGGCUAGUCACACUUCUUUGAAGUCUCUCACCCCCACUCACCUCACAGAGUGUUUGUUGUGGGGGAGAAAGGGAAAGGAGAAUGUUAGCCGCUUUGAGACUCCUUCGGUUAGUGAUAAAGCGGGAUAUCAAAUCCAAACUCUUCUUCACCUGUUUGGAGACAAUGGGACAAGGUUGCAUUUGCUGUGUCAGUUACGGGGUCACAAAUUAAUGGAGGGCCUUCAUGUCCUGAUUCUGUUCUUCCUAGAGCAGUAGUUCUCAAAUGUUUUUCCUCUGGGUCACCCUUUCAGAAUAAAAAUUUGCUCGCGCCCCUCCGGAUUUCUUAUUGAUGAGAAAUACAUUGCAAAACAAGAAGAAAGAAUUCCUAGCAGUGCCUAAUUUAUAUACAGUGGUGCCCCGCAAGACGAAUGCCUCGCAAGACGAAAAACCCGCUAGACGAAAGGGUUUUCCGUUUUUCGAUGCGCUUCGCAGGACGAAUUUCCCUAUGGGCUUGCUUCGCAAGACGAAAAUGUCUUGCGAGUCUUGAGAUUUUUUUCGCUCCCCCCCUUUUUCUAAGCCGCUAAGCCGCUAAUAGCCUUUUAGCUGCUAAGCCGCUAAGCCUUUAAUAGCUGCUAAACCGCUAAUAGCGCUAAUCCGCUAAGCCGCUAAUAGGGUUGCUUCGCAAGACGAAAAAACCGCUAGACGAAGAGACUCGCGGAACGGAUUAAUUUCGUCUUGCGAGGCACCACUGUAACAUAGAACACAACUACUUUAUAAUAU